UGUAAAAAAAGUUUUUUAGAAGGGUGCAGGCCUGUAAUUGGGGUUGAUGCUUGCCAUUUGAAAGGUCCUUAUCCUGGAAAAAUAUUGACUGCUGUAGGAGUUGAAGGUAAUAAUGGUCUUUUUCAAAUUGCAUAUGCUGUGGCUGAGAUUAAAAACAAGGACUCAUGGAUUUGGUUUCUGUCUUUGUUGAUUGAAGAUUUAUGUAUUACAAAUGGUUUAUCCUGGGCUUUCAUAAGUGAUAAGCAAAAGGGGCUCAUACCUGCCAUUGCACAUGUAUUACCAACUGCAGAGCAUAGGAUGUGCGUCCGGCACUUAUAUAAUAAUUUCAGAAUAACACAUCUUAGUCUCACUCUUAAACACAUGUUGUGGGCAGCUGCCAGAGCCACUACUAUUCCUUGGUGGAAAGUAGAAAUGGAGAAGAUGAAGAAAGAGGACUUGGAAGCUUGAAAAUGGUUGGUGCAGAGACCACCCAAUAAUUAGACUAGAUCUCAUUUUCAUCCAAGGUAUAAGUGUGAUCUUUUGCUGAACAACCUUUGUGAGAGCUUUAAUGCAGCUAUAAUUGAUGUCAGAGAUAAUUCUAUUUUGACAUGUUUGGAAAGUAUUCGAAUAUAUGUGAUGCUUAGGAUGGCUAAUCGAGGGCUGCUUGUGGUAAAUGGAAACACCUUAUUGGCCCAUGGAUAUUCAAAAUAAUUGAGAAGAACAAGAUGGGAGCUUCUCAAUGCAUUCCUAGAUUGGCUGGGGAAAAAAUGUAUCAAGUCAGUCACAUGUAUGGUGGGGAGUUUGUUAUAGAUCUUGCAGUAAUGUCUUGUAGUAGUAGGAGAUGGGAUUUAUGUGGCAUACCCUGUGCAGGUGCUAUUUCAGCUAUAUUCUACAGAGAUGAAAACCCUGUUAAAUAUGUACAUGAGUGUUAUAAGCCAGAGACAUACAUGAGGUCAUAUGAACCAAUAAUUCACCCAAUCCUUUCUAUGGAUCAGUGGGUUAAUGGUGGCUUGCCUCCAAUUAGAUCUCCAUUUCAUAAGCGUCAACCAGGAAGACCCAAGAGAGUGAGGACAAAGGAGGCUGCUGUGGUUCAAGUACCAGCCCCAAACCCACCAAACCCUUUGCCUCCAGGUUACACUGCUCCAGCAACAAAACUUAGAAAACUCUUUAUUAAAAUUAGAUGUGGAGCCUGUGGAAAAGAAGGCCACAAUCGAAGAGGAUGUGGAAGUCAGGUUGUUUAAUUAUUUGGGUUUUGUUAUGCAUUUUAAUUAUUUGGGUUGUGGUCAUCUGUGGUUGUGAUUUUUUAUAGCUGUGCUUGUAUGUUGUGCAGGCUGAGGCAGCCCAAAAUGGGAAUGUUGGCCAAAAUGAAGUUCAAGCAGCUAACAAUGGAAAUGCAGGCCAAAAUCAUAUUGCCCCAGCCUAAACUAAUGCUGGUCCAGCCCAAACUAACACUGCCCCAGUCCAAAACAAAGCUGCCCCAACUCAAACUUACAUUGCCCCAACCCAAAUUCAAGUUAAUAGGGGCAGAGGAAGAGGUAGAGGAAGAGGAAGAGGCUUAUGGAAUCUAGCUGCAAGGAUGUCAUCUUCACAACCAGUUAGUUGCCUAUUAUUCUUGCCCAGCUUUAAGGACCCGCCCCGAAUUUUCUCAAAACCCGAGACGAACCCUUUGGAAUUCCUGACAUCACCCCGAUGCCAGCCCACUUACUAAAAACCGAGACUUCCUGCCGAAAUUUCGGCAGAGUCUCCCCUAUAAAUUGGACAUUUCCCAAAAUUUCAACCUGCAUAAAACGCAUUUAAUAUCCACAACUGGCAGCAUGCACAAUAUAAUUUCAUGCAAUUCACACAAAUGGCCUUCGGCCUUUCAAUAAUUCCUAUCCAAUUACCACACCAUUCAAAUACAUAUUAUGACUAAUAUUUAGUCUGCGGCUGCACCUAAUAACCUUAGGCUGCCUACGUACCCCCCUUGAGGGAUCAAGCCACACAUAGUUCUUCCCUAAAACUCAGUUCCACACUUGGGCGAUGUCUUAUUUCAUUUCUCGGUAUUUCAUGGAAUCUCCCCAUACGCCGGUACAACCAACGCCACGUAUGGGGCCUGUCAACACGCCGGAUAACCUACGCCACGUGCGACCAUGCCAUACUAUCAUAAUAUCUCCCCAUACGCCGGUACAACCAACGCCACGUAUGGGGUCUGUCUCAACGCCGGAUAACCUACGCCACGCGAGACCUGCACAUCAUAUCACAUAACUCCCCAUACGCCGGUACAACCAACGCCACGUUUGGGGCCUGUCCCAACACCGGAUAACCUACGCCACGUGGGACCUCAAUAUUAUAUCACAAAGUUCCCCAUACGCCGGUACAACCAACGCCACGUAUGGGGUCUGUCGACACGCCGAAUAACCUACGCCACGUGCGACCUCAACAUAAUAUUACAUAGCUCCCCAUACGCCGGUACAACCAACGCCACGUGGGGCCUGUCCCAACGCCGGAUAACCUACGCCACGCGGGACCUAACUUUCACUUGGUGGUACUUGUAGUGGAUCCAACAUCCGAGGAGGUACCUAAAGUAGUGCGUAUAGCACUCCAAACUGACACUUUAGACUCUGUUGUACCCUUGUACAACCAUAUAUAAUUAUAGUUAUAUAAAUUAAUUCUAAUAUUGUGUAACCCUCCACAAUCAUCUAGCACCCGAUAAUCCCCCCUAGAAAGGUGAGAUUACUCCGGGAGACUCACGGUCAACCAAGGGUCAAACUACUCUAACCCUGGUCAACCGGACCUGCAAAACCCACGACCUCCAAUUUCCAAUCCGGAAGUCCCUAUGGGUUCUACCAGGUAUAGGACACUUGUCCUGCAAGUUUGGUUCAGAUCGGACGGUCGGAUUGCUCACGAUCGCACGAUCUGACGGUUAAUAUAAAAUAUAAAUUUAAAAUUAUUAUUCCGAACAUCCGGGGCUCCGAUUCACGAUCCGUGAAUUCCUACACGAUCCUAGAAAUACCUAGAUUAACAUAUAUUAAAUUUGGGACCAUCCGACGGUCCCAACCUAUCAAACCCGGAUAACGCAUAAUAUGCGAUUAUCUGUUCGAUAGUCAAACGACGUCCGAAUUGAGAUCCGCGAAAUCCUACGCACUCGUGACAACCUAAGGAUCUCAUUGGGACACAUUGCUACUUUUUCUACAGUGCCCACGCGCCGCCGCACGCGCCGGCAGCGCGUGGGUGCCCAAAGCGAUAACGCUUCGCCGGAAAAUCUCAACAUCUCGGCUCCAAACUCCUACCCUAGGUAUAACACCCUAUUUGGAGCCACUUUUGUUCUUGGACCUACCCCAAAAAGUGGCCGGAAAUGGCCGAUCACGGCGGCCGAAGUUUCGGCCGAUUUUCAAUUCGAAAAUCGAGUGAUCUAGAGAUCGAAUCGAUCAAAACCCAACCAACAGGCAGCUAGAACAGCUCGAGAGGUUCAAAAUCCAUACCUGGGUCGACAGAAUUGGUGGUCGGAGGAGGGAGAUCGACGGCGUUGAAGUUUCGACGACUUCCCGGCGGUUUUCUGCAUUUUCCGGCCAGCACCGGCCGCGUCGCCGGCGGGGAACGGUCGGGGAAGGAAGGGGACGUCGUCCCGGUCAUUUUGGUACCGGCCCCGCCCACAGCCGUGGCCGGUGGCCGGAGAUACGAGGAGAGAAAGAGAGAGAGCCGACGGGAGAGAGAGAGAAGUCGCGGGAGAGAGAGAGAGGAGAGAGAGAGAAACCAGAUUUUUAUAAAAAAAUCCCAUUUCGAAAUAUUUACGAUUAUACCACUGGACUUCUUUUGACCAUAUCUCUCUCGUUACAACUCCGAUUCGAGCCCACUACGUGUCUGUGAACUCGUCUCAGUACGACCUAUCCAAAAAUAUAAGUCACGGUCCCAAAAUCUCUCUGGUUAAAAAUAUGACUAAAAUACCCUUAAAUAAUUAAAUAAUUAAAUGAGGGUAAAAUUUGGGGAAAUUUGGGGUCGGGGUGUUACACCAGCUCAGAUUUUUUAUGUUUGCCUAUAUAGUAAUAUAUAUUGUUUGUGGUUUUUAUCUUAGGUGGUAAGUGAUAUCAGUCAAGGAAAGGCCAAUUUGCCAAUGACAUACUCACAACAAGUGCCCUUGCAACCAUCAUCCUCUUCACUUACUCAACAAACCACACCCCAUAGAGGAAGAUUCAAACACAGUGUCAAAAGAGGAGGACAAGUAUAGACUGUGAAGACAUAUUUUAUGGACUUUUAAGACCUAUUUUUGGACUCUUAAGUACUUACUAUAUGGAUGUGUAUUUUGGGUGAACAAUUAUAGACUCAAGUACGCUAUUUGGUAAUGUUAUUUUGAAGGCUCUUUUGCCUAUUCUAUGUAAUGUUCAGGUGUAUUUUGGAUUGUAUGUAAUGUGCAAUUGGUGAAUGUUAAUUGGUAAUUGAAGCCUUAUUGUAUGUAAUGUGCCCCUGUUCAUUUGGUAUACACUGCCAAUUCAACACAAAAUUAGCUUAUAUAGCAAAACAUCUGAUACACAGCCAAAGAGGCACAAAAUAACCUUAUGCCUAGGUUUCUGCCCAUUUCUAUACUACCAAUUCCUGCUCAUUUCUACACUAUGCCCAUGCCAUCAAAAGCUGUUUAAGAGUAUAUACAACAUUAUGCCCAUUUCCUGCCAUUUUCUACACUGCCAAAUCAUCCAUAUUGAUGAACAAUAUCACAAUCAUAAAACACAACAGAACAACAACCCAUAACCACCUUUUUCUUUGUUGAUAACUCAAAAUUUCCCCUUCUAGUAUAACAACUUGUUGACCCAUUCCCAAAUUAUGUUUUUCAAAAUCUUGAUUUCUUCUUCCUCUUCUUUCAGUUUUUGCUCUAAUUUAUUCUUCUCUUCUUUCAUCAAUAUGAAAUUCUCCGCCAGUUCUCUCAAUUCGUCCUCCAUUCCUCUUAGUCUUCUAAAUAACCUAGGCAAGAUUUCCUUUCCUUAUGGGCAUGUUUCAUUCUCCACCCAUGCAAAAAAUGCAACCCACUCUUACUGUUCUGCAAUUCAAACAAAACGAAGAACCAAUUUAAGACCCAACAAAACACCAAUUUCAUUCUCCAACCAUGUGAAAAAACAAAACACCAAUUACUGUUAUGAAAUUCAAACAAAAACUUACCCGAUUAUUGCAACAUGCCUCAAAUCUUCUUCCAGGAUUCAGAUCUAUCUAUGAAGUCCGACAUUUGAUUUCCGACCCAUACUUGCAGUAAUGCCGGCUGCAAUUUGAAUAUGUCGAACUCUUUGAUAUUUUUCCUUCCCUCGCAACCCCUUCUUAGUUCUUCAGUUCUUCAUUUGGGGGUCGAAGAGAAGGGUUUAAGGCAAGUGUUCAGAUUCGAAGGAGAGUCUUCAGACUCAAAACAACUCUUUUAUCCCUCAUUUUGACGAAUAAUUUGACAGAGUUGGACGACAGGACCUAAUUGCAACUGAUUGUCUAAUUAAAGGAUUUCAUUGCCUCAAAAAUUAGUUCACGGACCCAAUUGCAACUGGGGCCAUAGUUCAAGGAUGUCUACAGUAAUUAACCCUUAUUUCUAAUCCUAAAUGGACACGCUCACAAAACCUUUAGACAAUCUUCGAUUUGACACUCUUAGAAAGUCUUUAGGUAUUUAAUCCACUAAAUAAUUGUUCUUGUUCUACUACAUUCCAAAAGGUCCUUAUUAUGUUUGAUUUGUUUGGGUUUUGGAUAUUUUUAUGAGUAUUUUGUCCUGCACGUGCGUGGACAGUUAAGGAAUAUCAAUCUUAUUGAUGUCUGGGAGUUUUUGUUGAUCUUAGAUUGGAUUUCAGGAGUUCGAUCACUUUGGGCAAAUCAAUAUUAGGUUUGUAUGAAUGGUUCAACUGUCUUUGUUAUUUAUAAUGUCCUCUAAAUGCUCUUUGUAUCAAAUCCCAUGUCUCACAUAUGGCACAUACACUAUAAUCUUGCUUAAUAAUCUUGAAUGAAUCCUCACCUUGCCCUUGUAUGGAUACUAGAUUUGCAUUGUACUUUUUGCUAUUGAGCUCAUUACAAAUUCAUAAUAUCUCUUUAAUUAAAAAGUAAAGUAAAAUAAGUGCUUCAUCUUUGCCAAGUAACCAAGCCUCCUAUCUAACCCACAUCGAGAUUCGCGUUAAAAAGCUUUGAUCUUGUACACGUUGCUCUUCUUUGUAGCCUACUUGCCUCGGGUUAGUACAUUCCAAGGGUGCUUUUACACUCACUGUCUUAAAGUUAAUUGACUUGAGCACAUUGAUUUAACUCCCAUUACAUGGGUCUUGUAGAAAGCUUGAUUAAGUUAGCAUUUAAAAAAAAAAAAGAAGGUGAAAUUGGUGAGCUUCAUAUGCAUUAUGUAUGUGUGUUUAUCCUAUGUCUUGGAUUGUUCUUGAUUGGACUUUUUCUUUGUUAUUAAGCAAGUUUAUUCACAUAACACGAGAUUAAGCUAUGAUAUUUGCUCAUUUGAUGGACUUUAUUUCUCACAAAUACAUUUGAUUCUUCAUUUUAUAAUCCUUGUGUUUGACUAAAUCUUUGUGAUUUAAUGUGCCUUAGAUCCUGAAAGGCUUUGGUUCAAAUGCUUACAGCUAGUUAUUAGUAUUGGCUCUCCUUGGCUAUCCUCACACAUCGUGUUUGGCAUGAACAAUAUUUUUGGCACGUUUGAAAGGGGAGUCUUAAUAUAUUGUUGGCAUAGUUGUUGGUGUUUAAUUAUGUUUCUUUUAUUUUCUUCUUUUAGUUUAUACCCCUUAUUUUUCAUCUUCUUUUUCUUGGGUGCUAGCAUUGACAAAUCUUUAGGGGGAGAGUUAUUUUUCAAUUGCACAAGGUGAUGUUCUCGUGUUGAUUUUUGAUAUUGUGUUUUCCUUGCUGUUAGUUUUGGUUUUUUUUAGUAAUUGGUUUUAAUAUAAAAUAAUAAAAAAUAAAAUAAAUAAUCGAAAAACUAUUUGUUUGUAACACAAUGUCGUUUGAUGCCACUUGUUUAAGUGUGCAACUAGGUUUUGUUUCAUCUUGGACCUCACAUCUACUUUCUUGCUCUGUAUCCUCUCACUGAAACAGACUCCACAAGACCAUCCUUUAUGAUAUUAUUUGAAUGUGAAUGACAAAAAUGAAGACUGAAAGCCAAGUGAGAUACGUAUUGUGUCAUAUGGUUCUAUGAUUGAACCUAAAAGUGUGUAUAUUGUUCUUGCAGACGUUGAAUGUAUCUUGCUUAUGAAAGUUAAGCUAAUUCAAUUCAUAAGGAAUAUAUGGUCCCACGCUCCACGGAGUCAAGCAUACAAUUAUUCAAGUUUCACCAAAUAGGCGUCAAAACUACAUUCCUCAAUGGAAUUUCACAAGAAAAAGAGUAUAUGUUGACACAUCUGCAAGAUUCAUAGAGCUUCUCAAUCUUGUUCUCUUUCUUAGUCAAGACAUGACAAAUACCCUCCAGGGCAUCUGUGGUUAAUCUCUCUGAUUUUUGUUGAUAAUCAUUUUCUUCCAUUUCCCUAUCCUUGCUUGAUGUUGUCAUCCUUCUCGUUUUUGCUUCUGACACAUUUCAUCUUAUAUUUUCUCCCUUGUGUAUCUUCAUUGGCCUUUGGAUUUCCUGAAAAAAAUGAGGAGAGAUGAUUGUGUGAAUUGUGAUAAAAAGGGGGAGAUGUUAUGUUAUGGAAUUAAGGGGGAGUCAUAUUGUAAUUUUCCUUUCAAAUUACUUUUCUUCUCCCAUAUGCUUCAGUGGUUUUGUUGUUUCAUGUUGUGUAGGAUUAAGAGCUUUAGAGUAGGAUUUCUUUUGUUAAAUCCCAUAUAAUUUCUUUUGAGUUGUAAUGAGUGUUUUGUCUAGGAAAUGCCAAAGGGAGAGAUUGUUAGUAUAUGAUUAUGUGAUUGGCAUUCCCUAAACCUUAGAUACAUUAACAUAGAUGGUAAAUUUGUUACGAUAGACUCGCAAUGACAAAUGUCUCCAUCCCAAGCCCUGAUUCUAAGGCAUAUGGGUCAAUCAACAAUUUCUAAGGUAAUAUCAUCAUUCAAUCAUGUAUCUUGAUUGUGCUGAAUUUAUAAUUGUUUUCAAAUCAAGGAUUUGUUUGGAACUCUGAUUUUAAAACAAUUAAAGUUUGAUUGGGAAGACUUUUUGUUUAAAGGAAGUUUGUUUCUUGUUUUGAAAACCACUAUAAAAAGGAAGCCUAUGCUUCAAUCUCUACACAACUUUCAACGUGAAUUUUCAGAUUUCCAAAUAAUUAAAGAAAGUUGAUGUGCAUUGUUUUCUUAAGGGUAGAUCAUCAAGAGUAAGAUUAUCUUGGUGAUUUGUCAUUUCAUACAUUUGCAUUUAUUUGCAUAAGUUACAAGUGCCUCAUACCUCCAGCAAGUUUCAAUUGAUCCCGCCCAGUAUCUCAUUCAACAUAAGGAGAGAAAGAAGUAAUCCUGCUAGAAGUUGAAUUAAGAAGAAGUCAGUAAGCAUUAUCUAGAAUGUGUAUAGGAUAAGUGUGUGAGUACUUCUCGUAAUCAUCAUUCCAUAGUGGAUUUCUUUUGGGUUGAGGAGUCUUGUGGAUUUUCCCUAGAGUUAAGGUUUUAUCACGUAAAAUAAUUCUUGCAUGUUCUUUAUUUUUACAUUAUGUACAUUUAAGGAUUGAUACCACUUAUCAAUCCCUUGGGCGUGUUUUUUUUUUUUCCUUUGUUACGCUUAAAAUUUGUAGAUAUAUUAUUCACCUCCCUUCUAGUGUUUUAAGCUCUCUUACAGGUAAUUUCAAGUCAUAUGAGAAUAUAUUCUUAGAGUUUGUUGGCCUGGUUUCAUGCAAGUCAUUUUAGUUUAAAAAGUUGCCAAUUUUCAUUUUGGGUCCUUACAAUUUGCUCGAGGGCCUUUGUCGGAUGUCUCAACUAUGCAAAAUGCCCACAAAACUAAUGAGAUUCUAGACUUUGGCCUUUGUCUGAUCUUCUUGUGAUGGCCAUUGAAGUAGAAAGUUUGAAGCACUCUUGAGAGGCAGAAUGAGCACGAGUCAUGAGAUCCAAACCCUCGAAGCAAAAGUUUUUAACGCAAGACACUAGAAAAAAAAGAAAAAGAAAUAAAGACUGGUCUUAUAUUUAAAGUAAAGACUUUUAAUUUGAGAGAGGGAAACAUCAAAAAAGAGAAAAUGUUUUAUUAUUUUUUCUUCUUUAUGUGACGAAUAUGCAUUGUCAUUUUUUCUUAAUCAUUAGAUAAUUUUGACCAAAAAAAUAAAAAUAAAUCAUUAGAUAAUAUUUAAAUGAGUUGGUAGGUGAGAAGAGAAGUUAAGCAAAUAUCCUUAUUUUAUACCGGUGCAUGUAACUAGUCUAUAAUUUUAUUUUAUUUUUGUCAAAAUUAGGAAGGGGGAGGGAGGAAAUUUGACAACUCAUGAGAUUGUGAAUAUAAAAUGAAGCUGUUGCAACACUCGUGCAAACGAAGUUGAUGGCUGGAAUAUUUUGUAGUAAAGCUAUAGACGGUGCUGUUGAUGCGAAAAAGUGGUUCAGCACGUAUUUCGUCAACUUAGUGAUUUCAGGCCUUCGGUAGGUUACUGUCCUCGGUAGACGUUCUACUGCAGAAGGGUGAGUACCUACAAAAGGUCACGUUCGGUAAGUCCUUGAGGUACCGGUGUGGUACCGGCCGAAGGCUCUCCGAUGCUUUAGUAAGUACGGUUUUAGUAAAGAUAACUGACAGAUCAAUUGAUAGCGUACCGUUAGUUCUGAUCCCCCCUUUUGGGGAUAGGGGUCUUCUUAAAUAGGCCUUGGGAGGUGUGCACUGUGCUCAUAUUUCUGAUGUGGGACUGUGGACAUGGAUUGUGAGCAUGACACGUGUCCGAUGGUAAAAAGGGGCCAAGAUAGAUGGCUUCGGUAGGAAGCAUGCUGAAGAGGAUCUAUAAUCAAUAUCGAUCCUGUCCACGUGUUCGGUGGUCAUAGGCCGUUUCUUUCCGGUAUAAACAGUAGUCCCCCAAGUUCUCUUCCGAAGGUCCUUCGGAAGGGAAGUUAGUUCUCCAUGGCGGUUCGGAGGAUAACCUGCCGUUCGGUAGAUUGGCCUGGGACUCGAGGGGUCGUUGAUGCUGAGAGGGUUUUGGGGGCAGAGAGACGCUUCGUCUUCCGUGCCUGGCGUGCAGUCAGCCGCGCCAUUCGCCGGGUAACGCGUGGCCAGUAAAAGCACGUCUGACGGCGCAUUGAUGAGCCGUUUAGUCUUUCGAGGCGUACCGUUACACCUCUCUCCCUAUAAAUAGAGAUGGCUCCGGGUGUAAGGCUCACUUUGCAAUUGUGAGUUUGACGCGAGAGCUCUGCGCAGGCGAUUUCCAAAGAGAGUGAACGGCAAACAAGGCGAUUUUUCACAGCGGUUCUCGGCACACAGGGCGAUUUCCAACGAGACAUCAUCCCACACUACUCAAGGUAAGAUACCGUUCGGUACCCCCUGAAUAUUCUCUCUUUAUGUAAUUAUACGUCUUUCCAUGGCGUAGGCUAGCCGAUCGUUAAGUAGGAUUUUCCUUCGGUAGUCUAGUGGCCAUAGGUAGCGAUGUAGGUAUCGGUAGGGUAGUUUGUGGCACGGGCCCUAGCUUCCCUUUCUUUGUUUUGUAGAUGUCCGAUAGCGAGUCGCCGUUCGGUAGUGAGCCCAACGCUUUCGAUGAGGAGUUGUCCUCGGGCUGGGAUACGUCCAGCGGGGCCGUGAGCCUCGGCGCCGAGGGUGGAGAAGGCUCUGAUGCCAAGUUAUUCGGUGAGAAGGUGAACUCCGUUCCCACCCAUGACAUCGGUAAGGGGCUUAUGACGGGGCAACCGCUACCCUUGGCCGCAGUGUACAAGGACGGUACCCGUGUCGGGCCGUUCGAGCACCAGCCUGAGGCCUCCACCUCUGGUCGUAGUGAGGGCACUGCCGGUCCCUCCCGGCCGAGGGUAACCAUCGUCCACCUAGGGCCGCCUAGGAUACCGGUGGGUGUGCCCCAGAAGACUCUGUUCGGGGUCGACUACCUGGAGCCCAAUAAGAUCACCGAACGGGAGUUGGAGAAGAUCAGGGCCGAGUACCUCAUUCCAGAUUCGGUGAGGAUGAGGAUACCGAGCCCCGUCGAAUCCCUCAGCGACCCAGCGAACGGUGAAGUGACCUUCUUCACCGACGUUCUUCUGCAAGGGGUUCGGUUGCUGUUGCAACCUGCAGUGCAGAAGAUCCUUGCCCAGAUCGGGUAUGCUCCCGGCCAGUACAACCCCAACUUCUGGGUGGCCUUGAUGGGGGUGAUCGCUGCGUUCGGGAUUGCCGAGGAGGGGGAGCCUUCCUACGAGCAGUUCUGGUAUUUGUACAGCGUCACCAAGUCCAAGAGCGCCGAUCACGGCGCCUGGGUUCAGGCGAACUGCCUGAAGGCUUCCGAGCGGGGACAUUUCAUUAGCUCGGUGCCGACUUCUCAGAAGUCGUGGAGGAAUCGGUGGGUGCUGCUCUCCGAUGAUUGGGAAUCGCCAUCGGGAACACCCCGUAGCUUCCCGGUCCCUACGACAUUCCAGAUUGCCGGUAGGUUUUCGAACUACCGAUCGGUAGGCUGGCUUCUCUUCUCCCUUGUUGCAUUUUAUUAAUUUUUCUUCGUUUGACAGGCAAACUCAAGCAGCCGAGCCCCAAGCCGAGUGAGAUCCGGCAGCUUGACAGAGUGAGGUCAAGAGUACCCGCUGCCGAGCGAGUUUAUCCACGCUUCCUCUUCACCGACAACCUCGUCAGAGCUGGCCUCGCUAACCCUGCCGAGAGUAAGUAUACCUGUCCUCUUUUUUUUUUUUUUUUUUUUUUUUUUUUUUUUUUGCUUUUGCUUGCCGACUGACCGAUUGCCUUUGACCAGUGACGGACGCUAGGAAGGCUGCCGAGGCGAAGAAGAUGAAUGAGUCCUCCAGGAGGCGCCUGAUGAUGGGCCUGGAGGGCAAGAAAAAGAAGAAACAGCUUGAGGCAGCUUCCGUUCGGCAGGCGGUGGUGGAUCCGGAGGAUCANNNNNNNNNNNNNNNNNNNNNNNNNNNNNNNNNNNNNNNNNNNNNNNNNNNNNNNNNNNNNNNNNNNNNNNNNNNNNNNNNNNNNNNNNNNNNNNNNNNNNNNNNNNNNNNNNNNNNNNNNNNNNNNNNNNNNNNNNNNNNNNNNNNNNNNNNNNNNNNNNNNNNNNNNNNNNNNNNNNNNNNNNNNAGGGCCGUCCUUGCGGUGGAGGACGAGGACGGUCCGUCCGAAGCCGUCACGAUCACCUGCCCCGCGAAGACGGUGCAGUUCGUCAACCAUAUGAUCCUCUGCUCUCAGAUGGAGCUACCGGAGAUCGACGAGCUGCCGAAGAAGUUUCUUCGGGAGGAGGCCGAACGCGCCUUCCAGCUUCAGGCCUCGGUAAGAUUUUUGUUCUCUUCUGGCCAGGCUCCUUUGGCUUUGUCCAGCUGCCGUUUCAAUAGUUUCUUGAUGAUUUUGUUUAUUGCUUCCACCUGACCGUUUGACUGGGGAUGCGCCGGUGAUGCGAAAAACAGGUUGACUUUCAGGCGGGGUGCAAAAUUGCCUGAAGAGUUCCGAAUCGGACUGCCUGCCGCUGUCGGUAAUGAUCGCAUACGGGGAUACCGAACCGGGCAACAAAGGUGAGUCCAGACGAAGUCUUCCACUCUUGCUGCCGUUAUAGUUGCCAGGAGGUUCAGCCUCCACCCUUUUGGUGAAGUAGUCAACGGUUAACCACUGUGUAUUUCACCUGGCUUUUCCCCUGCGGCAUUGUACCGAUUAGAUUCCAUUCCCCANNNNNNNNNNNNNNNNNNNNNNNNNNNNNNNNNNNNNNNNNNNNNNNNNNNNNNNNNNNNNNNNNNNNNNNNNNNNNNNNNNNNNNNNNNNNNNNNNNNNNNNNNNNNNNNNNNNNNNNNNNNNNNNNNNNNNNNNNNNNNNNNNNNNNNNNNNNNNNNNNNNNNNNNNNNNNNNNNNNNNNNNNNNNNNNNNNNNNNNNNNNNNNNNNNNNNNNNNNNNNNNNNNNNNNNNNNNNNNNNNNNNNNNNNNNNNNNNNNNNNNNNNNNNNNNNNNNNNNNNNNNNNNNNNNNNNNNNNNNNNNNNNNNNNNNNNNNNNNNNNNNNNNNNNNNNNNNNNNNNNNNNNNNNNNNNNNNNNNNNNNNNNNNNNNNNNNNNNNNNNNNNNNNNNNNNNNNNNNNNNNNNNNNNNNNNNNNNNNNNNNNNNNNNNNNNNNNNNNNNNNNNNNNNNNNNNNNNNNNNNNNNNNNNNNNNNNNNNNNNNNNNNNNNNNNNNNNNNNNNNNNNNNNNNNNNNNNNNNNNNNNNNNNNNNNNNNNNNNNNNNNNNNNNNNNNNNNNNNNNNNNNNNNNNNNNNNNNNNNNNNNNNNNNNNNNNNNNNNNNNNNNNNNNNNNNNNNNNNNNNNNNNNNNNNNGCCGUUACCUGGUUCACAAUGAGCUGGGAGUCGCUGUGAAUCCUGAUUUGUUUUGCAUUCAUGCUCUUGGCUAACCGAAGGCCGGCCAAGAGAGCCUCAUAUUCUGCUUCAUUGUUGGAGGUUCGGAAGUUGAAUCGGAGGGCGUACUCGAUCUUGAGUCCCUCUGGUGUUGUCAGUACCAAGCCUGCUCCGCACCCUUGUUGGUUUGCCGAGCCGUCGACGUGCAUAACCCAUACGGGAUUUGAGAUGUCGAACCAUUCGGCGUCUACUUCCAUUGGCGUUCCGGUUUCGGUAACCGGCUCGGGUGUCAGCUGUGCUGUUGAUGGGGUGAGCUCGGAGAUGAAAUCGGCAAUGGCUUGACCCUUUUCGGCGGGUCUUGGCGUGAAUUGUAUAUCGAACUCUCCGAGUUCGAUCGCCCACUUGAUCAAUCGGCCAGAAGUCUCUGGUUUUUGGAGCACCUGCCGAAGCGGUUGGUUAGUCAGAACUUUGAUCCCGUGUGCUUGGAAGUAUGGCCGAAGUCUUCGUGCCAAGACUACCAGGGCUAGUGCAAGUUGUUUUAAUGGGGGAUACCGAAGUUCAGCACUCUGGAGUGCCUUGCUGACAUAAAAAAUCGGUAGCUCUGCCCUCUCUGGCUUUCGGAUCAAUACCGAACUGACAGCAGUGCUAGAUACCGAAAGGUAUAGAUAGAGAAUCUCCCCAGGUAAUGGUUUUGACAGGAGGGGUGCUCUGCCCAUGUAGUCCUUUAAGUCUUGAAACGCUUUAUCACACUCGGCAGUCCAUAUGAUAUUCUGUUUGCCCCCUUUCAAGGCUUUAAAGAACGGCACACAUUUGUCGGUAGCCUUUGAGAUGAAGCGAGUCAAGGCCGCGAUGCGUCCGGUAAGGCUUUGAAUGUCCUUCGUCGUCUUCGGUCUUUCCAUGUCGAUGAUUGCCUUUAUUUUUUCGGGAUUCGCUUCGAUACCCCUGUGACUAAUCAUGAACCCGAGGAAUUUUCCGGAAGAUACACCGAAGGCGCAUUUUAUCGGGUUCAGCCUCAUCCGGUACUCUUUCAGUAUGCCGAACAUGAUUGAUAAAUUGUGCAGGUGUACUUCGGCAGUUCUGCUUUUUACUAGCAUGUCGUCAACGUAAACUUCCAUGAUGCNNNNNNNNNNNNNNNNNNNNNNNNNNNNNNNNNNNNNNNNNNNNNNNNNNNNNNNNNNNNNNNNNNNNNNNNNNNNNNNNNNNNNNNNNNNNNNNNNNNNNNNNNNNNNNNNNNNNNNNNNNNNNNNNNNNNNNNNNNNNNNNNNNNNNNNNNNNNNNNNNNNNNNNNNNNNNNNNNNNNNNNNNNNNNNNNNNNNNNNNNNNNNNNNNNNNNNNNNNNNNNNNNNNNNNNNNNNNNNNNNNNNNNNNNNNNNNNNNNNNNNNNNNNNNNNNNNNNNNNNNNNNNNNNNNNNNNNNNNNNNNNNNNNNNNNNNNNNNNNNNNNNNNNNNNNNNNNNNNNNNNNNNNNNNNNNNNNNNNNNNNNNNNNNNNNNNNNNNNNNNNNNNNNNNNNNNNNNNNNNNNNNNNNNNNNNNNNNNNNNNNNNNNNNNNNNNNNNNNNNNNNNNNNNNNNNNNNNNNNNNNNNNNNNNNNNNNNNNNNNNNNNNNNNNNNNNNNNNNNNNNNNNNNNNNNNNNNNNNNNNNNNNNNNNNNNNNNNNNNNNNNNNNNNNNNNNNNNNNNNNNNNNNNNNNNNNNNNNNNNNNNNNNNNNNNNNNNNNNNNNNNNNNNNNNNNNNNNNNNNNNNNNNNNNNNNNNNNNNNNNNNNNNNNNNNNNNNNNNNNNNNNNNNNNNNNNNNNNNNNNNNNNNNNNNNNNNNNNNNNNNNNNNNNNNNNNNNNNNNNNNNNNNNNNNNNNNNNNNNNNNNNNNNNNNNNNNNNNNNNNNNNNNNNNNNNNNNNNNNNNNNNNNNNNNNNNNNNNNNNNNNNNNNNNNNNNNNNNNNNNNNNNNNNNNNNNNNNNNNNNNNNNNNNNNNNNNNNNNNNNNNNNNNNNNNNNNNNNNNNNNNNNNNNNNNNNNNNNNNNNNNNNNNNNNNNNNNNNNNNNNNNNNNNNNNNNNNNNNNNNNNNNNNNNNNNNNNNNNNNNNNNNNNNNNNNNNNNNNNNNNNNNNNNNNNNNNNNNNNNNNNNNNNNNNNNNNNNNNNNNNNNNNNNNNNNNNNNNNNNNNNNNNNNNNNNNNNNNNNNNNNNNNNNNNNNNNNNNNNNNNNNNNNNNNNNNNNNNNNNNNNNNNNNNNNNNNNNNNNNNNNNNNNNNNNNNNNNNNNNNNNNNNNNNNNNNNNNNNNNNNNNNNNNNNNNNNNNNNNNNNNNNNNNNNNNNNNNNNNNNNNNNNNNNNNNNNNNNNNNNNNNNNNNNNNNNNNNNNNNNNNNNNNNNNNNNNNNNNNNNNNNNNNNNNNNNNNNNNNNNNNNNNNNNNNNNNNNNNNNNNNNNNNNNNNNNNNNNNNNNNNNNNNNNNNNNNNNNNNNNNNNNNNNNNNNNNNNNNNNNNNNNNNNNNNNNNNNNNNNNNNNNNNNNNNNNNNNNNNNNNNNNNNNNNNNNNNNNNNNNNNNNNNNNNNNNNNNNNNNNNNNNNNNNNNNNNNNNNNNNNNNNUCGUCAAUUUUUCUCAAGGCUAUACAGUCUCAGUAUAUGGCUGUGUGCUGAUGUAUCGGCAGAAUUUACCGGUAUCCCGGUUGUCUUGCCGAUUAUGUCUUCGGGCAUUCGGCUUCGGUAUUAUUUCUUGUUCGUUCAUCAGGACAGCCUCGUAGGUAGUGUUCAACAGGGUGAAGACUUCAUUGCCGUGGUCACGAUUCGGCUGUGGCUCUCGGUUGUCGUUGCGACCAUACCGCCCUUUCCCUUCUUCGAGUGUUCUCUUCGAUCGGCGCGGUCGUCUUUUCUCUUAUGACCUGUCGAGUACGUGUCGACUCUCCCGUAGGGUGUCGCUUUUGCCAGAUAAGCACUUGGUUCGGCGUCUCCUCGCGGUGCCGAAGCCGCAGGUUUCGAGUUGAAAUAUUCGGCUUUGGCGUGGAUUGCCGCCUGCUUCAUCAGCUCGUCGUACGUGCGCCAGUUGCUGCUGUGUACUAGGUAUCAAAAAUGUGAGGACCGAAGGCCACUCUUAAAGGCGUCAUAGGCUGCCCUAUCGUCUGUUUCCGGGCACCUUGAGUACUCGUGACUGAAGCGCGCCGCGUAUUCUCUCAAUGGUUCGUCCUCUCUUUGCUGAAUCGUGUACAGAUCAUCGGCAGAGUAAAGACGGUCCGUUUGGAUCAUGAAGUGGUUGAGGAAAAUCUGCUUCAGUUCGUCGAAGGAGUCUACCGUUUCUGGCUCCAACCGGUAGAACCAGUUCAGGGCUGCCCCGGUAAGGGAGGACGGGAAUAGCAGGCACUGCCCUUCAUCGCUCAGGCCCUUGCAUCCAAUGGCGGACUGAAAUGAGUGGAGGUGUGUUAAGGGGUCUUCCGUUCCCGUAUAGAACGGUAUACGCAGUUGCUGCCCUUCCCGAUCCUGCCGAGAGUCCCGGAUGCGCCUGGUAAACGGUCCUGACCGAAGCUUUCCCCACUCCGGUCCUUGGGAGCGGGCGUUGUGGUUUUCCAUUUUCUGGAUUUUUUGAAAAAGGAGUCUGACAAUGGGGUCCCGGCUAGGGAUUUCCUCGGAACCGUAAUCUUCCGAUCGCCUUCGUAGGUUUGAUGGAUCAACCCCCGCGUACUGUGAAGGCAUUGCCGAACGGUAGGUGGAAGUUUGCGUCUGGGAAGGGAUAUAUUCGGAUCCUGACUCUUCUGCGGGGUCCAGCCCUCUGACCUUCCGAAUAGGCGACUUGUCUCCUAGGAUUUUCGUCCGUGAGUCCCUUUGUCGAGUGCCAAUCCUGAUCGGAGACCUUUGUCUCUCUGCCUCCCGAUCGUUAAUUCGAUGUCGACAAUCGGUGUAGUCUUUCUUGGGGAUGUGCGGCUGAUCCCUGGGUGCCGGAACUACCAACUCUCUGGAAGGUGCGGGCGUUGCCUUCUGUACCUUCUCGCGUUUCUUCUUCCUAUGGGGGGUCUGCAAGCUCUCGGAAGAGCGAGUUGUCUGGAUGUUCUGUGUGUGCUGCUGGUGGAGCAGCUGCUGGGUUUCGUCCACUUUGGACGAAAGAAAAUUGUUGUGCUCCUAAAGCCUCGCCAUGUUCUUCCGUAAGGACGCGAUUUGGACUGCCAGCUCUGCUUCGACGGUUGUUUGGGUUGCGGGAGCAUUCCCGAAGGGAGUGCAUGGGGGUAGCGCUGGGCUAGCUCCGCUCUGCCUUCCGAACGGUACGCCUUCUUCCGAUAAGAACGUGGGUACUGAAGUGGUCCCCAUGUGUUUUGGAGAUGGUGGGUUGUUAAUUUUUUUUUGUUUCCCACAGACGGCGCCAAACUGUUGAUGCGAAAAAGUGGUUCAGCACGUAUUUCGUCAACUUAGUGAUUUCAGGCCUUCGGUAGGUUACUAUCCUCGGUAGACGUUCUACUGCAGAAGGGUGAGUACCUAUAAAAGGUCACGUUCGGUAAGUCCUUGAGGUACCGGUGUGGUACCGGCCGAAGGCUCUCCGAUGCUUUAGUAAGUACGGUUUUAGUAAAGAUAACUGACAGAUCAAUUGAUAGCGUACCGUUAGUUCUGAUCCCCCCCUUUUGGGGAUAGGGGUCUUCUUAAAUAGGCCUUGGGAGGUGUGCACUGUGCUCAUAUUUCCGAUGUGGGACUGUGGACAUGGAUUGUGAGCAUGACACGUGUCCGAUGGUAAAAAGGGGCCAAGAUAGAUGGCUUCGGUAGGAAGCAUGCUGAAGAGGAUCUGUAAUCAAUAUCGAUCCUGUCCACGUGUUCGGUGGUCAUAGGCCGUUUCUUUCCGGUAUAAACAGGUGCCAUGGCACGAAAGAAUCAUGUAUGAGCAAUUCUGGGUUUAGGGUUUGGAGGAUGUUGGAGAAGUUUGGGCUAGCAAUGUUGAAGGCCUAUUUGAUAGUGGGCAGGAGAUGGAGUGGGAGGCAAUUAGUAGGGGCGGAGCCACGUUGGGACUAGUGCAGUCCUCGGUCCCCACUGAAUUUUUAUUAUAAAUAAAAAAAGUAGUAUGCUGUUAUUGAAUAACCCAUAUUAAUUAACAUAUUAAUUUUACCAUGUGGGGCUUUACCCAACCAAACCUAUGUUUCCUCCAAGACUACGCCUUCUUUUGCAAACCCAUCCCAAAAGUUUUAAUAAAACUAUUAUUAUUAUAUUAUGACAGGACCCGACCCAAAUUUCACUUUGGAAUCUGAGCCGAGCCCUGUACGUGUCGGACAUCUGGCUAAUGCCGAGCACAAAAGACCAAAUUGCCCUUCUAACCAAAAUCCAAAGGAAUUCAAGUACGACUUCUGUCAAAAAUUCGGCAGAGUCACCCUUAUAAAUUGAAUAUUUCCCAAAAAUUUCUGCCUGUAAAACAAGCAUAUAUGCUUAUAUAACUCAUUUGUCAAGAUGCAUUAAACCAUAUCCAAGCAAUCAUGCAACAUAUCAAUCUUGCCUCAGGUCUCAACAAAUCAAACACAUCGUUAUGCUAACAACAUGCAAUUCAAUUUCUUAGAAUGUCCUUUGAACAAUGUUAGUUUUCAUAAUAACUUAACUGGACUACCUUUUUAUUAUAUGACCUCGUGGCUGCACCUAGAAUUCUAGGUUGCCUACGUACCCUUAACAAGGAAUCAAGCCACACGUAGUUCUUUCCUACAAUUGCAAAACCACUAGUUCUCAUAUUUCAGCCCAGCCUCCUGUUUUCUAGGCUUCCUGACAUUUCUCACAUGGCAAUAUAUAAUUAAAUGAAGGAAUAAAAACAUUUAGAUUCAGGUAAUCACACUUGGAAAACCACAACUAUCAAUUCCUCGUGACACCUUGGUGACACAUCCUGCCCUAUAAUCCUUGCUAGACUCAGAAGACAUCUGGUCAACCUGAUCCACAAUCCUCGCUCCCACGGUUCAGACAUCUCUAAGACUCGUGGGGCAAAGUAUGCUAGAAUACUUGAGCUAUUUAAUACCAUAUCCAAUAAUAAAAAGAUAAAGGCAAACAACUUAGAAAGAAUAAAAUAAGAUAAAUUAAAGCAAAAUGGAUUAAAAUAAAAUAAACAAGCUCCGACUACCCUUGUAUCGAUCUCGCGUAAGGUUCAUAAAUAAUUAAUUAUAUAUACAUAUAUAUAUCCGUCUUUCUCUUGUGACAUAAAUAUAUCAAUUAAGAAAAUAAUAGUAACCGUAUAAAAUUCCUCAAUUUUAAUUUAAAAGCGUCUUAAAGCUUAAAUCCUCUCCAUCUAGGCAUACCCCUAUUUCUGAUCCGUCAUUUCCUUUAAUACCGUCAAUUCAAUCUUCGCAGGUCUUGGAGAUACCACUUCAAUCCGAGUGGCAUUCCUCACAGGUCUCAGAGAUAAUACUUCAAUCAGAGCUGCAUUCUUCGUAGGUCUCAGAGAUAACACUUCAAUCUGAGCCACAUUCCUUGCAGGUCUCAGAGAUAACACUACAAUCUGAGCCGCAAUCCUUGCAAGUCUCGGAGAUACCACUUUAAUUCGAGCCGUAUUCCUCGCAAGUCUCAGAGAUAACACUUCAAUCUGAGCCGCAAUCCUCGCAGGUCUCGGAAAUACAACUUCAAUCUGAGCCGCAUUCCUAGCACCGCACGUUUCGAGCUUCCCCGAAACUUGUAGGACAUUAUCAAUAACCAAAAUGUUUCAAAGUAACUAGGGGACACCCUCGUGGUGAGUUUGAAAACCAUAACCCGUCAUUUAUAUCAACUUUCAGUAAACUUAUUCUCAACUAAACUUAACAUAUAUAUACCUUUAUAUGCCACAAUCUGAUGAAAGCCAAGUGCUAUGAUUCAUCCUUUUCAACUAUUGAAUGUACAUAUAUUAAACACUUAGCUAGUAUGUUAGCCAUAUUGAUCUCUGAUUAACAUAUGGUUCAAAUAUUAUAUUAAUAACCUUACAACAUAAUUAACCAUAUGAAUAUAUAAGCAUGUGAUAAAUCAAUAGAUAAUUAAAUACUCAUCCUGAAUUCACAUAAAAUCAAGAAAUUAAGACCAUAAACAAACCAAUUGAACACUUGCACGCACAUGAACUUUCUAAAAGCUUAAACAUAUUCUAUGGAGCUCAUCCUUAUUAUUUAAUCCAAAGUCCUGGCGUUGGGCUCCUAGAAGUGCGUGCAUUGAAUUGAAGGUCAUUCUCAAGCCUAUGUAAGCUUUUUCACUGAUUAGAACAGUCUAGAAGUGCCUCGGGACUCAAAAAGCGUUAAGUCCCAACAAGUCAACCUGGAACCCCGUGGGGUCCACAACCUCAAGACUCUGAUCCGAGAGUUCCUAGAGGUUCUAACAUGCCUAGGACAUAUGUCCCGAGAGUCUGGUCUCGAUCGGAAGGUUGGACUACUCACGAUUGCACGAUUGGAUGGUUACUGUAAACCUAGCCUUGGGUUGGCCUUUUCGAAUUAUCCGGGACUCCGAUUCACGACCCAUUGAAUCCUACACAAUCCUGGAAUUACAUAGAUCAACAUAUAAGAAAUUGAAUGCGAUCCAAAUGUUCAAACGUAUCAAACCCGAAAAUCGCACGAUAUGCGAGAUCCGUUCGGGGUUCAAACGUUGUCCGAAUUGAGAUCUGUAAAUUCCUACUCACUCGUGACAACAUAAGGAUAAUUUUAGGACUGAGAGUGACCUCACCAGGCUUCCACGCGCUGCCACACGCACCGGAAGAACGUGGGUGGCUUGAUCAAAUUUCGGCAACCAGAAAUCUUCAAAACUGGAAAUCCGCUUCCUACCCUAGGUAAAACACCUUAUUUAGAACCACUUUUGUUCUUGGAGCUACCCCAAAAAUGAGACGGAAGUGGCUGGAAUCGAAGGCCGAAACUGGCCAAAACUUCAAUCGCUUAAUCAACCAACUAAACGCAGAAAUUUCUCAAAAAUAACACAACCAGCAGCUAGAACAUGUUGAGAGGAUAGAAAAGCAUACCAAAUUCGAAAGAUUUGGUGGCCGGAGGAGUCCGAACAAGCUCCUAAAAAUUUGCUAAAAAACUGUCCAACACUGCCUGUUUCGUGGCUGAUUCUGGUGACCACGCCGGCGGAUCAAAGCUGGGACCGGUGCUGCCAAGAACGGAAGUGUGUGGUGGCGGUGGUGUAGGAGAGAAGUUGGCUGGUCGUGAAGCUUAUGAGGGGGAUGAGAAAAUCUGAGUUUUAAAACUGAACUUUGAAAUAUUUACGGUUAUGUCACUUCGUUACAACUCCGAUUUGAGCCCACUACGUGUCUACGGACUCAUCUCGACGUGCUCUAUGCAACAGUAUAACUGUAAUUUCCAAAUUCCUUACCGGUCAAAAAGUCAACUUUUUCCCUAAUAAUUUAUUCUAUGGGCAAAAUUAUCUUUUUCUCUAAUAAUUUAAUAAUUAAAAAUUAAUUAAGGACCGGAUUGUUACAUAUUACCUUUUAACACACAUAUUACCUUUGUACACAAAUUGCUAAAAAUAAAGAGAUUUUAAUCCAAUUUUUGAUUUUUUUGGUGGGAGCAAACUUUCUCAUUGUUUAUGAGUUUUGAGUUUUUCUCUCAAACUCAAUAUUAUAUUAACAAGUUUUAAAAUUAGGUUAAUUCAUAGAUGAAUGAUUGCUUGGUUGCAUAAAUUGAGAAAAAUAUUUUUAAUAGUAUAGAUGAUGUGGUUGUUAUGCAACGAUUUCAAAAUAUGAAAAUUUGUCAAGGACAAUUAUAAAUUGUAGUGAAAUAUUUUUUUUUUGGGUCAAAAUUAUGAUUGUAAUGAAUAGACAAUAUUAUUUUUGAUAUUUUAGUAUGUCUUGAGUUCAAAUUUUUUAUUAUUUAUAUUUUGUGAGAUGCCUCCACACACAUAAAAUUCUAACUUCGCCACAGGCUGUUAGUGUGGCAGUGAGGCAAGUCAGCAUGUGGAAGAUGAAGUUCCACAAAUUGAAUGCAUUGAGAGGAUUUUUGGGAGAGUUUUGGCUUGAUAGAGCUGAGAUUUACAGGUGUGGGGCAAAAUAAAUAUGUGAAAAUUAAUUUUCUUAUUGGCGAGCUUCUUGGCUUACUCUAGGAAGGGAGAUAUGUGGCCUUGAGCUAACCAUGGAAGCAUAAGAAUACUGACCAUGCUUGGAUUUUGAGAAGACUUCCUCGUUUUAUUUAUUUAUUUAUUUUUCAUGACUCUUGUUCUUGAGGCGGUGGUUGGCUUAUGGCCUCAUAUAUAAUUUGGUGUUUUUGGAGAUCAUAUAGUGAGGGAACUCUGAUGGAGAUGAGUCAUAGUUUGUGCAAGUGCAUAUGUAAUUCCAAUUUCCAGAUUCAAACGGGAUAAAUUCUUCCAACAAAGGGCUCGUUUGGGAGUACUUCUUUCUGAAACGCUUCUACAAAGAAGCAGUUUGUCAUUUGGAUGUCACAUUUGAAAGUGCUUUUACACAACAUAAUAGCGCUUUUGAUAUUUUGUUGAGUGUUUGGUUGACACAAUAAAAGCACUUUUAAAAGUACUUUACAAAAAUUUAAAGAAUCCCAAAAUAUUAUAAUAAACAUAGGAAAUAAAAAUUCACAGGAUCCCAAAAUAAAAACACAACUUAAAAAAGUAUGAACUUCACCAAGUAUAAUUUUUAAUCAUUUUUUGAAAAUAAAAAAGGAAUUAACUAGACAUAAUAAGAUUUUCAAUUCUCUCACGUUUGUCAGCCAUCUCAUGCCCAUGGGUUAGAUUUUGUUCUUCAACCAUCUCUUCCCCUAUAGUAACUCCUGCCCCGCCAGAGGGAAGUAGCUCAUCAUCAUCAUCAUACGGUUGGAAUUCUUGAUCUGUCAUUGAAUGACAUCUUGUAAAGUUGUAAAGAGUCAUUGAAGCAACAAUUAUUAUGCAUACAUAUAGGACAGCUCAUAGGAAAGCAUCUAAAACAAUUUUUUUAAAAUUUUUUUAUUUGAAUACAACCGAUAUUGGGAGUGUGGGGAUUUGAACACAUGAUCUAGGAUACAAGGGUAAUGCUCUUAAUUGUCAAAACAAUUUUUUUCUACUUUUACUGAACACCUAACUUUUUACCACCAAAAAAAAAAAACUAUAUAUAUAUUCCCAUUUGUUUUUUUUUUUUCACUUUGAUUUUUCUCAAGUUUUUAAAAAAUAAUAAUUUUUCUUUCUCAGUCAAAAUCUGAAGUCUUUGUGGUCCUUUGUUUUUCUAUUUUGGUAAAAAGCUUAGGGCCUGUUUGGGAGUGCUUCUGAAACUGCUAAAGGUGCUUUAUGACAACUAAAAGCGCUUUUGACAACGUUUGGCAAAAAAGUUGCGCUUUUGGGUCAUAGAAGCGUUUUCUGGAGAAGCACCUGCUAUGUACUUCUUCAGAAAGCACUCCCAAGUGCUUUUCCAAGAAGUACUUGGAUUUUUUAUGAAAAUUCAAAAUUUUUAUUAUAAAAGUGCUUUCGUUAGAAGUAUUUAUGAAUAGAAGUACUUCCUAGAGAAACAGUCCCAAACGAACCCUAAGGUUUCAGUAAAAGUUUAAAUUAAAAAACAAAAAAAAGGACAAUUUUGACAAUUCAAAAAAGAGGACACAUAUCACUCUUAGAUUGAGCCAUAAUAGAAGUAAGGAGGGAGUUCCUUCUAAUGGGUAAGGAGGGAAGUAUUGUAAAAAAGGAAACAUGUUACAAAAACACAAAGAAAACCUAACAGCAUUACUUAAAAAAAGUAGAGAAGUCAAGCCCAACAUUUUGAGUUUUAUACACCUACGUGACGUGAGCAUUCAAUAAUCAUCCUACACAUAUGCUGAUGUGAGCAUUCAAAAUCAUUAGAAUGAUUUAAUUGAAGACUCAACGUACGGACGUCUUUUUCACUUAGAUUCCCUUCCCGUACAAACUUGCAUCAGUUCCUCCACGACCCCAUCAAUCUCUUCAUCCUCUUUCUUGUUCAUGUUGUCUCUUAUUUUCAAUGCCUUUUUUCUCACUCCCUCUCCAAUUUUCUCCACAAAAACAUCUCUAAUCACCUUUGCGACCUCUUCUCUUUGCAAACUUCCUUCACCUGUUCUCUUAACCUCAACACCAACACCCACCUCCUCCACUAGUCUAGCGUUGAUCGGCUGGUCAAGAUGCAUAGGCAUGGCUAUAAUUGGAACACCAAACUUGAUGCUCUCCAACACUGAGUUCCAUCCGCAGUGACUCACAAACCCCCCAACACUAGAAUGCUGCAGUAUCUUUGCCUGUGGGGCCCAACCCUCCAUUAUCACUCCCUUCUCUCCCACCCUCUGUAAAAACCCUUCUGGUAACACCUCUUCAACCCUAGUAUUUUUCUCCUCCUUAGAAAAUCUUAUAACCCAAAUGAAGCUCACUUUGCUAAGCUCUAAUCCGUGAGCUAUCUCUUCUAUUUGCUCCUUGGACAGAAAGUACUCACUGCCAAAGCAUACAUACACUACAGAAGACCUUUCCAUUUUGUUCAGCCAUUUCAUGAUCCAUGUUUCCUCAUCAACUUUUUGAUCCACUGGCUCUUGAACAAGCGUGCCAACAGGCACGAUCUUUUUCCCCAUUAAAUCAGAGAGAUAAUCAAUAUAUUUUUCUUCAAUCCCCCUGGAUGUCUUUACCAAAAUGAUGUUACAAGAUCGAGCACUGCAUUGCUGAACACGGUCUCCAUCUUUGAUGCCAUUUGCUGAAGAUUCCAACACGUUGUUGAACUUUUCAGCUUCGUAAUCUUGAAGAUAAAUCGAAGGAAAAGGAAACUUGACACUAGGGUUCUUGAGAUGUUGAAUACUAAAUGAAGUAAAGGCAGCACCCAUGGUGAUGAAUUCGAUGGAUGGAAAAUUUUGCAAUGAAGCUAGAGAGGGCGCCCAUGGUUGAAGAAAAUCAUAUAUGAGCAAAUCUGGGCUUAGGGUUUUGAGGAUGUUGGAGAAGUUGUUGCUGGACAUAUCAAAGGCCCUUUUGAGAGUGGACAUGAGAUGGGGAGGGAGGCCAUUGGUGGUAUGGUAGUGAGGUGGGAGUUCAGGCAAGUCAUCAUGUGGAAGAUGGAGUUCCACAAAUUCAAUGCAAUGAGAAUAUUUUUGGGAGAGUUUAGGCUUGAUGGAGCUGAGAUUUACAGGCGUGGAACAAAUAAAGAUGUGAAAAUUUCUCUUGGUGGUCAGCUUCUUGGCUAGCUCUAGGUAGGGAGAUAUAUGGCCGUGAGCUAGCCAUGGAAGCAUAAGAAUAGUAAGUUUUCUUUGGUCAGAGUAAACCAUAUUUUGUUUUCCUUUCACUCUUUUGCUUGAGGUUGCUCGAUUAUAGGCUUAUUGGUAGUUUUUUUGUAGCUAGCUCUAUGCAUAUAUAUAUAUAUAUACACACACAUUCAUGGGAAAAGAGGCUUGGGGAUGGGAAAUCAAUUGAUUUCCUAUGUUUGGUAAAGUUCGGGUAUGAGAAAUCGUUGCUUUGCACAUGAGAAAGUAGAGGGGAAAGUGAAGCCCUCCUCCUUCCUUAGGUUUUGUUUUCCUCCUCAUGGGAAAGUUUGGGAAAAUGAGCUAAUAUUAAAUACAUAUUUUUCAUGACCAUAUUAUCCCCAUUAAUAAUUUAGAAUUACAUAAAUGCAUUCUAUUUUUAUUUGAUUUCAUAUGGGUAUAAUUGAAAAAUUAAACAAAUUUUGUUUUACAUUCCUACACAAACCAAACAUGUGAAAGGAAAUAAAGUGGUAUUUCUUGGUUACUUUCCCAAGAUUACCAAACAUAGGAAAGGAAUCUCUAUUUCCCAUCCCUUAGAAAAUGACUUGGAAAGUAAUUUCUCCUCAAAUUCGUUCCGUGAACCAAACGGAACCUGCAUAAUAGAAGUUCCAAAAAAACACGUGAUGAUUGGAUCAUGCAUAUGUAAGUUCCCGAGUGAUGAUUGGAACAAGUUCCUAAUGAUAAAGACUCGAAACAAGAAUAGUUUAAACUUUCUUCUUUGUUUGGCUUGAUAUAAGACGAAUGCACCAAACAAACCGACUAAUUGCUGGCACAAUAUAAAUUGGGGCUACAAUUACCUAAUAAUUAGGUACUAAGGGCUACAAUUACCUAAUAAUAUCAACUUUCAUUAUACAGAUUUGAGAAACAAAAAGUUCAACUUUGAUGACAAGCGAUAUUAAAGGAGGGCGUAAUCAAACUUAGGAUCUUGAGUGUAGAAAUAAAUACUUUUAACAACUUGAGCUACAAGCCUUUUGUAAUAUUAAUGAUAUUUUAAUUAUACGUUUGAAUAGUUCGCUUCCUUCUCUUUUAUUUUCAUUUGUUUAUAUUUAACUCUAAUUUUAUUUAUAUUUUUGGUCAAGGUAAAAAGACUUUGAAUCUCUCUCCAAUGAUUUUCACAGCCGAAACUCCUUUAGUUUCCACAAAUAUUUUUUAAUAUUUCAUGCAUUUGUAAGUUUCCGACUCGGAUGGUUCAUGUAACCAAGAAGUUUAAACUUGUUUUUGCUUGUUCCGCCGACGAAAGCGCAACAAAAGGACAAACUACAACCAAUACUUCUAGUAUCACCAGUUCUCAUUGAAUUUGUUGCCGUGAAUGUUUAGGAUUCUGCCCAAACUAGUAUUUGCGUUUCUGAAUUGUUUGAAAACACAUAUGAAAUUAUGAUUUCUCCUCCCCAGAAGACAAAUUGACGAAGAAGUAUCAUGAUUUUGAUGACACAAAUUAGAAUCCAGGGUUUUCGAAGUGCCUAAUGGACAACUAUUAAUUUAGAAAUAUAUAUAUUUUUUUCGCAAUGCAGAAACACAUAAAUCCCAAGUUUGAAUUCAUCCUAUUUUUGUUUUUGUUUUUUCCUUUUUUAACCCAGAAGAAAAAUUGAGUGCCACUCUGCUAUGUAGAAUGCAAGUUUUAGUUUAGAUUUUUUUUUCUUUUUAGUCUCUUAUUCUACAUUUAGAUCUCAUAUAUUUACUCGCAUUUUAUUAAAUCUAAGUCAUUCAAACAAUCUGACCACUUAACAAAUUACAAGUACUCAAACUUAAAAUCAGAUUGGAUGGACAUGAGGCUUACACUGAUGAUUCUACACGUGCUGAGAAUAGUCCUUUUAUUUCUUUAUUAUUUUCUUGGUCGGGACUCGAGAGACAGGUGUAGUGUAGCGAUGGAGACGAGGCCCGCAAGACAUAAAAGUCUGAAGAAGAGAAGCGUGAAAGCUUCAUUUAGACAGUUAAGUGCAUACGUAACGUAAAGAUUCAAAGACUAUGUCCCUCUCCAAACAGGGAAAGAUCUGAGUUGAAAGCAACAAACUACAGUCACAAUAGGAAAGCAUCUACAACGUAAAGAAAAUAAGUUUACCAGAAGCAUCGGAAAGAUCUAGAGUCUGAAGAAGAGAUACUGAAGUAAUUGUUCAUCGACUGAGCUUAAAUGAAAUAUUAACUCUUUGUUGUGCCAUAAGCACAAGAUCUUAAGAAAAAAAUUCAAGAUAAACCAUAUAAUAUUUUCUAACCCACAAAAUAAUAUAGAAAAUAAAUGCAAGAACAAGAGAAUAGCAAGACACAACGAGGCUGCUUACAAUCAGUGUAAAUGAGCAAACAAAUUCACCAUCAACAAAUUAGCAUGCUUAUGAAGUGUUUUGCAACCUCACAAACCAAGGCGCCAUAUACACCAAAUGACUCUCACUGAAAAACUAAACAAAGAAACACACUCACACUAAUGAAAGCAACGUUACAAGGUAGGAGAUUGAAUAUUACAUUUACAAUACACUCAUAAGUUACAAAAACUAAUUACAAAUAUUUAGCGCAUAGGUUACAUAGAACUGAAAGGGUGGAAUGAUAAGAGCUAUGGUGGUCAUCCACCAACUCAUGCAUUUACAACACCGCCUCUUGAAUGUCCACCAUACAAUACAAUGAUAUAGUUGCGUCAUUAAACACUUUGCUUGAAAAACUAUAUGGGACAAAACUUAGGCUACGGGAAAAAGAGUGCAACACAAAUAAUAUUGAUAUCACAUUUGUCUCUCCUACGGAAUGAGCUUUGGUGAUGUUUGUAUAAAAAUUGCGUACAAACCAUUAUUGGAAGAUUGGGCUAGAGUGGGCUUUACCCUAGUGUUGACUUUGGAAAGAGACAAAUUAGGCUUAGUUGUGUAAAUUCAAUCCAAAAAAAAAUUAAAUAAUAGCCCACAUCUACAGCCAAAUACUUUAAUACUUUAAUUACUAAAGUUUUUUUUUCUUUCUCUCUCUUCUUUGGUUUAUUCAGCUUUUGAUUUGGCUCAAAUAAUGUUUAUAUCUCUCUUUGAUUUUGUUUUUUCAAAUUUAUUGAUGUUGCUUCUUUUGAAAAUUUUGAAAUAUGGACCCUCCCUAACUAAACCACUCCAUUGAGCAAAAGCCCUUGAGCUUCAAAUUUAUCUUCGUCUGAGCCUCUGAAUUUUGGUUUUUUUUAGGUUUUUUUUGUUUGUUGUAGGUUUCUUUGUUCACAUAUCUCUCUAAAAAUAGUAUUUUUCUUAAUGAAUUCUGAAAAUAGUUUUUAAUUUGAAGGAAAUAUACGGAAUUAGUAAAAAAGUAUACCACUUUCAUUAAUCUGAAGGAAAUAUUGCUUUAUAUAUAUUUGUUUAAAAAUAGGGCUUAUAAUUGAUCUCAAAAAAAAAAAAAAAACAAAUAGCCCACCCCUGUAAAUAUUCCUUAGUCCGCCAUUGCAUGGCAUAAUAUUUGGUAUGCUAUGCUAGCAUCUCAUAAGCUCUUCAAGAGACCUGAAUUUUAUGAUAACUUCUUAAAAAAUUUGAAUACAUUUCAACGAUAUUAAACUUGAAUUUGAACUCAUAAUUCAAUCAAAGUACUCAUUGAGGCAAUUUAGAUCAUUUUCAUUUUAAAAAAAUUGGGUGCACACAUUGAGCUUCAUGCUCUUUACCUUCUUAGAGAUUUUAUUUGAGGAAUUUAUAUUGCAUCACAUAUUACAUCUCUUAGGAUUUGUUCUUAUUAUGUAUUCUUUAAGAGAUCUAUUCUUGCAAUAUGCUUCAAACACUUCAUAAUCUUUAUGAAUUUUUCAUGUAGAUUUAAGGUCUCCAUGAAUAUUGAGAUUGAAACAAGGAGUAAAAGAGUUAAAAGUUUAAGAAAUUUUUUCCCUGAUUAUUUUGUAAUUAUAAUGUUGGUGAAAAUCCAAUUUCCUUUCUAGAAUUUGUGAAAUUUGUUAUUUGGCUAAGCUAAAAGUAUAAUUUUGACAAUAAAAAGCAUAUGAAAGUUUCUCUUUGGUUGGCUUCUUGGCUAGCUCUAGGAACGGACAGUGUGGCCAUGAGAUAACCAUGGAAGUAUAAUAAGAAUGCUUGGAUGCUGUGAACAAUCCAUUUUCUGACUCUUUUUCUUGAGGUGGUUGUUUUCUUAUGGCCCAUCAGAGUUUAUGGUCGACAGAUAAGCUUCAAACACAUGCAUUGGUCGUGUCAGUUGCGAUAAACUCUUCCCAACAAUCAACAAUUUCUAAGGUAAUAUCAUCAUUCAAUCAUGUGCUGAAUUUAGAAUUGUUUUCAAAUCAAGGAUUUGUUUUGGAACUCAGAUUUUAAAACAAUUAAAAUUUAAUUGGGAAGACUUUUUGUUUAAAGGAAGUUCGUUUCAAUUCAAAAAAUAAUUUUUCAGUUUUUCAACUCAAAAGUCUUCUCAGUUUUCUUAUUUUUCUUAUUGGCGAGUUUCUUGGUUAACUCUAGGAAGGGAGAUAUGUGGCCAUGAGCUAACCAUGGAAGCAUAAGAACGCUGACCAUGCUUGGAUUUUGAGAAGACUUCCUCUUUUUUUUUUCCCUGACUCUUCUUCUUGAGGCGGUGGUUGGCUUAUGGCCUCAUAAUAGUUUGGUGUUUUUGGAGAUCAUAUGGUGAUGAUCUGAUGGAGAUGAGUCAUAGUUUGUGCUAGUGCAUACGUAAUUCCAAUUUCCUGAUUCAGAUGGGAUAAACUCUUCCAACAAAUUAAGACUCUUAUCAUGCAUACACAUAAGAAGUGGAAAUUUGCUUCUGUCUUAGUUUGGCCUUGAUAUAGGACAGCUCAUAGGAAAGCAUCCAAAACAAUAUUCUUUUUAUUUUUUUUAUUUGAAUACAAGCGAUAUUAGGAGUGUGGGGAUUUGAACACAUGAUUUAGGGUACAGGGUAAUGCUCUUAACUAUAUGAGUUACAAGUCCCUUGCAAACAGUCUGAAAUACUAAAAAUAAAAAAUAGAUGCUCAUCCAUAUGCACUGUCAUGCCCCAACCCUUGGAUUUACAAAACCUUGUGUUAAGACGUGAUUCACACCUUAAUUAUAGAAUUUAAUAAAAACUAUAACUAAAAUGUGAAGAAAACAUUUAAAUAAAUAAAAUAAAUAUUUCACAUAGAAUAUUCAGUGGAAAUGACAACAUGUGAAAUCUUAAAAAUUUUACAUUAUCUUACAAGUUGGCGUGACUUGUGGAUAUUGACUUACUUUCCUUACACACCAAGAAUUCCUAUUAUAAUUGUAAUUGAUUUACUUUAAUUCAUGAUUUCCUACUGUAAAUAGAUUUAAGAAUUUAUUAUUUACUUGCCCAUUCAGGUUUCGUUGUAUUAUAAAUAUGACCUCCUACAAGGAGAAGAACAUACAGAAAAUUCCCACAAACAAAUAUUCUCUCAUAGUUUUCAUAUUUUAGCAUGGUAUCAGAGCGGCAAUCUUGGAAUUGCUGACUCUAGUUUCAAACCCCCGCCGCCGCUAUGGGGGUUGAUGAUUUUUUCAACCAUCAUGGAGGUAGCACCAUCGACUCCUUCUCUCAUUCUCAACUAACCAUCGUUGAGUUGAGUGCCCAGAUGGCUCCGCUCCUACAGAUGCAGACUUUGACCCCAAACCCGAUCCAGAAUCAGGAUCUUCUUUCGACAACCACGACCCCGAUCUCGACUAUGACAACGACGACCCCGACCCCUACUCUGAAGAUGACCCCGACCCCCACUCCGAUGACCCCAACCCCGAAUUUGUCUCUGAUUCAGAACCCGAUCCCGAUUUCGACUCCGACUCCGGCCUCGACUCAGGCUCAGAUUUCGAUCCAAAUUCCUACUCAACUUAUAUCCUAUGCAUCUUCCGCUGCACAGAUUAUGACUUCUAGACUAACGACCCCGACAUAUGGACCAGAUUGCACAUAUUGUGGUGAUCCGAGACACACUUGUGAGACUUGUUUUAAAUCGCAUGGCUACCCCGAUUGGUGGGCUAUUCUUACAGAUCAAGGACAAUGCACCAGUAAUGGUACUGGUUAUGGAUUCCAUACUUCCGAUAAGAUUGAUUCCAGGAGCUGGAUAAUUGAUUCUGGUGCAACUGAUCAUAUGACGUUUGAUCCUGAUGAUUUUCUGAAUACUACACAACCUCGACGAACUUGUAUUGCAAAUGCCAAUGGUGUUACUUAUCCUGUGACAGGGGCUGGCACUGUUGCACUCUCAUCCUCUCUCACACUGUCUAAUACUUUACUUGUUCCAUUUUUAUCCACUAAAUUGUUGUUAGUUAGUCAGCUUACUAAACAAUUGAAGUGUUGUGUACUCAUUUACCUGAGUUUUUGUUUGCUUCAGGAUAUUCACACUAAGGAGAUUCUUGGUCGUGGUACUAAGAGAGGGGGGCUAUAUUAUGUCGAUGACUUCAGUUCCGGCGUGCCUAACAGUGUGACACAUCCCUUUGAUAGCAAACAAAAGCAAAUUUGGUUGUGGCACCUUCGAUUGGGACAUCCGUCUUUCAGUUAUAUGAAGCAUCUUAUACCAGAUUUAUUCUUAGGUUUCAAGGACUCCGACUUCACAUGUGAUACUUGUAUUUUGGCUAACAGUCACCGUGUGCCCUACCUGUUGAGUACGAACAAGUGUACUUGUAAGAUCCCACAUCAACCAACGGAGAGGGGGUGAUGUGCCUUAUAUAUGCACACCUGCAUCCAUCUAGCACGAGGCCUUUUGGGAGCUCACUGGCUUCGGAGUCGUAGGAACUCCGAAGUUAAGCGAGUUGGGGGCUAGAGCAAUCCCAGGAUGGGUGAUCCACUGGGAAGUUGCUCGUGAGCUCCUAGAAACAAAACCGUGAGGGCAGAGAGAGGGGCCCAAAGCGGACAAUAUCGUGCUACGGCGGAGUUGAUCCCGAGAUGUGACAAUUUGGUAUCAGAGCCACUCUGCCGUGUGGUGCGAAUGUGCCGACGAGGACUUCGGGCCCUUAAGGGGGGUGGAUUGUAAGAUCCCACAUCAACCAACGGAGAGGGGGUGAUGUGCCUUAUAUAUGCACACCUGCAUCCAUCUAGCAUGAGACCUUUUGGGAGCUCACUGGCUUCGGAGUUGUAGGAACUCCGACGUUAAGCGAGUUGGGGGCUAGAGCAAUCCCAGGAUGGGUGACCCACUGGGAAGUUGCUCGUGAGUUCCCAGAAACAAAACCGUGAGGGCCAGAGAGGGGGGCCCAAAGCUGAUAAUAUCGUGCUACGGCGGAGCCGAUCCCGGGAUGUGACAAUUGUACUACUCCAUUUACGUUAAUUCACUCUGAUGUCUUGGGACCUUCGCCUAUCACUGCUCCUUCUGGUGUUCGAUGGUUUGUCACAUUCAUCGAUGAUUGUAUACAGAUGACAUGGCUUUAUUUGCUGAAGAAUAAAAACGAAGUGUUUUCCCGUUUUCAGUCCUUCCACAAACAGAUGAAAACUCAGUUUAAUGCUCAAAUCCAGAUUCUUCGCUCAGACAAUGGUGGAGAAUUUGUCAAUCAUGACUUUCAGACUUACUUCCAACAACAUGGAAUUAUCCAUGAGACGACUUGUCCUCAGACACCACAACAAAAUUGUGUUGUUGAACGAAAGAAUUGACAUCUUCUUGAAACCGCCCAAGCACUUCUGAUUGGCGCUCAUGUUCCUCGCUAUCACUGGGAUGAUGCUAUUGUCACCGCAGUUCACCUGAUCAACCGCAUGCCUUCUGGUGUAUUGACCUUUAAAACUCCCUUACAGGUGCUUGCGCAACACAGACCUCUGCUCUCUGUUUUGGUACUCACACCCCGAAUCUUUGGAUGUGUGGCUUUCGUUCAUCUCCACAAAAAUCAACGUAGCAAACUUGAUCCCUGUGCGCUUCGUUGUGUUUUUAUAGGUUAUGCCACUCAUCAGAAAGGCUACCGUUGUUAUCACCCUCCUACCCAACGAACCUAUGUCACUUUGGAUGUGACCUUUCUGGAAUCUGAGUUGUUCUUCCAUGACCCAUCAUCCAAUUCUACGCAUCAGGGGGGGAUACGAAGUGAAGAGCAGAAUUGAAGCAACUUGGGAAAUAAAGAAAUUUUCCUCUGUACAGAAAUGAUUAAUCAUCCUGAGUCUGGAGCACGAGAUUACUCUCUGUCGAAAAGCAACCAAUCGCCCAUUCAUAGCGAUCAAUUGCCUCACCUACCUGAUCCAUGUGAAGAUAUUUUUGAUCCGAGUCUCACACCUACAGACAAUACAGAACAACAAGAUGAAGACUCCCCCUCUAACUCAACAGUACCAACAGACCAAUCUCCUGAGAAUAUCCUUGAGGUAACUACUCCUACUAGAUUUGUGCAUUUAAAUGAUUAAACUAUUGGAUAUCAAUUACCUUUCAGGGAAAAUCGUGGGAAGCCAUCAAACCGUUAUGCACCUGAUAUUGGCAAGACAUCCAAGUAUCCAAUUGCAAAUCAUGUAUCCACUGAGAAGCUGUCUGAACAACUCAAGGCUUUUGUGCAUCAGUUGUCUGCGAUCCAUAUUCCAACCAAGGUCUCUGAAGCAUUAAAAUAUCCUAAGUGGGUCCAAGCUAUAAAAGAGGAGAUGAAAGCUCUUGAGAAAAAUCAGACUUGGACAUUAGAGACUAUACCUCGAGGAAAAAAGACUAUCAGAUGUAGAUGGGUGUUUACUAUAAAACACAAUGUAGAUGGAUCUAUCGAGCAAUACAAGGCAAGACUUGUGGAAAAAGGGUACACACAGACAUAUGGUAUAGACUAUGAAGAAACCUUUGCUCCAGUUGCAAAGUCAAACACCAUCAGAGUCUUAUUGUCCCUUGCAGCUAAUUUGGAUUGGCCACUACACCAGUUUGAUGUAAAGAAUGCUUUUCUACAUGGCGUACUCACGGAGGAGGUGUACAUUUACAUUCCUCCUGGAUAUAAUACUACUUAGACUGGAACAGUUUGCAGGUUACGAAAAGCAUUGUAUGGAUUGAAACAGUCACCACGUGCAUGGUUUGGACAGUUCACCAUGGCAAUGAAGAACAAUGGUUCAAACAGUGCAACUCAGAUCAUACUCUACUCUUGAAACAUCGAAAAGGGAAGGUAACAACAUUAAUAAUCUAUGUUGAUGAUAUGAUUAUUACUGGGAAUGAUAAACAGGAAAUAUCACAGCUACAAGACUAUCUGGCUACGGAGUUUGAGAUGAUGGAUCUAGGUGGACUCAAGUAUUUCUUGGGAAUUGAGGUGGCUCGAUCCCAGCAAGGCAUAUUUCUCUCUCAAAGGAAAUAUGUCUUGGACUUGUUGACAGACACAUGAAUGCUAGAUUGUAAACCUGCGAACACUCAUAUUGUUCAGAAUCAUCAUCUUGGAGAAUAUCAUGAUCAAGUUCCAACUAACAAAGAAAGAUACCAAAGGUUAGUAGGAAGAUUGAUCUAUUUGUCACAUACUUGACCAAACAUUACUUAUGCAAUGAGCGUUGUCAGUCAAUUUAUGCACUCUCCAAGUGAAGACCACACGAAUGCAGUUCUUCGGAUACUUAGAUAUUUGAAGUCUGCACCUGAAAAAGGACUUAUUUUCUGAAAGCAUGGUCAUAUAAAUAUUGAUGGUUAUUCAGAUGUAAUGUAACAGAUAGAAAAUCCACAUCCGGUUACUUAACAUUCAUGGGAGGUAAUUUGGUGACAUGGAGGAGCAAGAAACAGAAUGUAGUAGCUUUAUCCAGUGCAGAAGCCGAGUUCAGAGGCAUGACUAAAGGAAUUUGUGAACUUCUUUGGUUAAGAAAGUUGCUUACUGAACUUGGGUAUAAACCUACAUCCACAAUGAUUCUCUUUUGUGACAACAAGGCUGUUAUAGCCAUUGCACAGAAUCCGGUUCAGCAUGAUCGUACUAAACAUGUUGAGGAGGAUCGACACUUCAUCAAACAGAAGCUUGAGGCUAAAAUGUUUCAGUUUUCUUUUGUGAAAUCCGAGGAUCAAUUGGCGGAUAUUUUGACAAAGGUGAUUUCCAGUAAAACAUUCCACAAUUCACUGGAUCAGUUAGGCAUUGGCGAUAUCUAUGCACCAACGUGAGGGGAAGUGUUGGCGUGACUUGUGGAUAUUGACUUACUUUCCUUACACACCAAGAAUUCCUAUUAUAAUUGUAAUUGAUUUACUUUAAUUCCUGAUUUCCUAUUGUAAAUAGAUUUAGGAAUUUAUUAUUUACUUGCCCAUUCAGGUUUCGUUGUAUUAUAAAUAUGACCUCCUACAAGGAGAAUAACAUACAGAAAAUUCCCACAAACAAAUAUUCUCUUAUAGUUUUCAUAUUUUAGCAAGAACUACUCGAGAGUUUACUAAAAGAGUAGUUCAGUAUUCAUCCACAAGCUAUAUACACAAUACACUCUAUAGAUAUGCCAAAAUCAUCGCAAGCUCUAGAUUUUAGGUUCGAUACCUGCAAAAUCUAUUAGAAGGGUGAGUGAAACCACAGUUUAGUAGGGACAUAAACCUUUUCACGGUAAACUGAUAUAAUUAAAUUAAGUGAAAAAUAAUCACACAGCCAAAUAUCACAUUAUUAAUAACAAUGCAUGAAUGCUCUUCAUUUAACCCGUUAAUUCAUAUAAUUAGACAAGCUUCACGACCCAUACCAUGCUUAUACCACUUAGUCCCGAAUGCCAAUUUAUAUGAAUUAACGCCCAUUUCAAUCAUCCCAUAAUUCCCAUUUUGUUAGUCAUCUUGUCUAACUCCCUGUUGCCAGUCCUGAAUCACCAAAAAAAAAAAACCAUGUGCACUAUGGGAUCCCUGAGUACUAGUACCUGGCAAGAGUUAGACUCAACUACACAAAAGAUCAUUUCUAUUACCCUCUUAUCCACCAUUAUUUUCUCAACUUCAGAAUUCUAGCCAAAUUCCAUGACAUGAUAUAAUUAAAAUUAUGCCUUCACAACAAUGUGCCCAUUUAAAACAUCACUAAUGCACAUAUAAUUAUGCCCACAUUGUUCAAAUAGUUAAGAGUACGUAAAUACCCAAUACAUGGAACGUCAAUCAAACAGUACCACGCAUAAUAUAAUGCUCAAGAAAUUUAAUUAAAUCAAUCUCUGUAAAAGGCCCCUAAGAAACCCCUGCCUUGAUACUAAAGCUUUUGCUAGACCUAUAAGGUGUUUUCCAAUUUUCCACCGCAUUCACAAACUCUGUCUUCUACUUUUUUUCUUACUUCUCUCUACCACUAUUUCUUUCUCGUUUUCUUUGUUUUCACUUGUUGUGCAACUUAAUGUCCUAUAUAUAUACAAGGAACAAGUCGGCAGUAAGUGAUUUCCUAUUGGAUGGUGUAUUCGGUUGUUAUAAACUUACUAGUAAUAGUUAUCAAUGUAGUUGCAGAUGAGGAAGAAUGUUUUUGUGACUCUUCCAAUCCCUCUAAUCCUAUUUCUUAUCUUCUUGGUGAGUUGAUAGCCUCGAUACUUAACAGAUUUUAUACUUUGACACGUAUUAACAAGAACUAUUUUAAAAACAUAUACAUAUAUAUAUAUAUAAUAGAAUAUGUAUAUAUGUAAUACACAUAUUUAUAUAUAAUAAGAAUAAUAUAUAUGUAAUAAGAUAUAAAUAUUUAUUAGAACAGUAUAUAAAAUAAUAUAUAUCAUUCUUAUUAUAACAAUAAUUUUAAUUUUCCCAAAAUAAUAUAUAUUUAAAAAUAUGUGGUUUCACAUGCAUGUCCUUUUUGCUAUAGACACUAUUACAAAAAUCGAAAUAGACAACGGAAAACUACCGUCGUCUGGAAAGUUUUCAAACAGUCGUGAAAUCGACUGUCGUCUCUUUUACAUAAAACAACGACGGCUAUUAACCAACGUCGUUAAUACAUUCCACGUAAAAAACUAUUAUAAACCGACGUGUAAUUACUAUAUAUAUAGCCUAAAAUAAAAUCUUCAACAACCUUAGACGACGGUUUUAUUAAAACUGACACGUCUAAAGAGUGUUACAUGUCAAGAUCAAAACAAGAACCGACGUACAGAUAAUUAUCCACGUCCUAAUUGAAGUAAAAUAGACUUGGAUAACCUAGAAACCGUCGUGGUUAACAUAUACUACGUUAAAUUAACAAAGGCACUUACGUCUAAAAAGUAAAAGACAACACGCGCACAAAGCAACAGACGUUUAAAGCUUAGUACAUGUCAAUAGCCGCUCAAUAACCGCAGUAAAAUGAAUUAACCACGUCCCACAUAUGGCAGAACUGUUGCUUAUGUGAUUAUCCACGUCGCGGAGUAGUAGAACAAAGACGUUGUAACCAUAUUCCACGUCUGUUUCUUGUGAGAAUUGUCGUUUAAAUUAUACAAAGAAGCCCCUUUGACAGAGUUAGACGUUGCUCUUGCUGUAGAACCGACUUCUAACAGGUUUAAAAUGACACAAUAUUACUUAAUACUGCCGUAACAAAUCAUAUCCACGACUGCUGUUGUCAAAGACUGACGUUACAAAAAAUAUUGAAGGUGUUGACAAAAAAGAACCGACAUGGAUUAUGCAUUCAACGUCGUGUGGUCUAAAAAUAAAGGACGUGGUUAAUUUUUUCUCUACGUCAAGUGGAUCCAAUUGCCUGAUGUUGUAAUUCUUUACCAUGUUGGUUUUUAAUACAUGAUGAUGUGGUUGUCCUUUUAAAAGUCGCUUGUUUUACCCUCCUUGACGUGUGUAUGAUAUGAGACGUCAAUUGUUUUAGACUAGCUGACGUGCAGAAAAUCUGUCACGACAAUUAAUGCAACUGAAUUGCCUCUAUUUCCCCCAGACGACGGUAGGUUUUAAGUGUGGAAGUAGUGUUUUACAAAAUCGUAAGUUGGAGUAAUCUACCAUCGUGUUAUUCGAGAAUAUACCACGAUCUUUGUUUUGUACUCGGUCGCUGAUGUUUAUACUACUUAAUAAACUGACAUGUUUUCAGUUUCAGACGGCGGCUUUUGUUUCUUUAUGGUCUUUUGCAUUUUUUUUCCAUGACAUUUUUGAAAGCCUAAUGUUGGUUUUAUUUUAGAAAUCGAUUUUUCCCCUUUUUUUACUGGACCGUCGUACUUUACACAUUUAAUCAAUUUUUUUCAAUUUUUGAUUCAUCGUGCCCAAAGCCUACAUAACGAAAAUGUGAUCAGAAUUAAAAUGAUGUACAAAGGUAUUAAUUAAUGUCAUACAAUUAACUGAAUAACUAAUGUCAUACACUACAACAAUCAAUCAAUCCAUAUAUCUUCACACCCAUCUUUAAUAUUUUCACUCCCAAACUCACCCACUAGGUCAUCAUAUGUGUCAACAUUUGGUAUCCCUCUAGUAAAUGUCUCACACUCAAUUCUAAUAUCACCUAGCACAUCAUCACCAAUAACAUUAUUAUAUUCUCUAUUAUGCAUUGAUAACACUACCGACCAACCACGAUGCAUUGGGUCGUCAGCAUAAAAUACUUGUUUUGGUCAUUCCUAUGUCCAAUUUUACUCAAAUCUACAAAGGUGAAUCCAAGUUCAUCGACAACAAGGCCCAAAGUGUUAUCUAUCCAAUCACACCUCAAGACAAGGAUUCUAAACUUUUGGUAGUCAAGGUCCCAAAUUUCUUGAAUAACACCAUAAAAACCCAUAUUGGAGACAAUAGAGUUUUUAUCCUUAGCACUAGCAACUUGCAUAGUAUGUGCAAGUAAAUAAACUCCACUAUUUUGGACAGUUCGCAUAUCAUCUUGUGCCUUGGUGUUAAAUUUAACACCAUUAAUAAGAUAGCUCCUAUAUGAUGGCAUUGCCAUGCUUGGACUAGCUGCUAGCCACCUCAAAUUUUAUGAUACGCCAUUAUGCUCUUCCCCAUUAAGUUCACUUUGAACUUGCAAAUUAAUCGUAUAUAUCCUAAUUCGAUCUAACAUAUAAAAAGGAAGAAAAUUAAAAGUUGAAUAUGUCAUUCAAUAACAUAUAUACUUGAAAGUGUAGCCAUUGAAUGAAAGUGCUAUUGUGCUUAUCUUGCAGCCACUUUGUUCUCUUUCUAAAUAUUGGAUAAGUGGUCUUGAUGUGGAUCAUAUGUUCCAUACAUUGACACGAAAAAAUCAAGCAUUACGGUCCCUUGUAUAUAAGAUAACAUAAGGAAUAAUAAUAUUUAAAAUGGCUCUAUAUGAAAAAUGGAACUCAUGCGUACUCGAUAUAAGGUAGGACUUCCUCAGUAUUCUCCAAGACAUAUAGAUGUGUCUGGUUCAAAAAACCCGAUCACCUAAGCUUACUGUGCAACCAGAUAAUGGCUUUGAAACUCCCAUCUUCUAGCUUGAAGGCACUCCAACUGUACUAACAUCAGAUAAAUGCUCGGUGCAAAACUCUACAACUUCUUCAGCUAUAUACCGCUCAAUAAUGCAACAUCCGGGACGAGUACGGUUCUGAACAAACCUAUUUAGCACUUUCAUAUGUCUUUCAAAUGGAUACAUCCAUCUAAAAUAUACUGGCCCAUGUAGACGAACUUCUCUGACAAGAUGUACUACUAGAUGAACCAUGAUAUCAAAGAAUGAAGGGGGAAAGUACUUCUCAAGCAAACGCAACGUAACUACUACAUCUUCUUCCAAAUUAUCUAGCUUGGAAACAUCUACUGUCUUUGCACAUAUAGCAUUGAAGAAGAAGCACAAUCGAGUUAUUGCAUACCUUGCAGGCUUCUCCAAACAGAACGAAUUGCCACAGGGAGCAAUUGUUGCAUCAAGGCAUGAAAAUUAUGAGAUUUAAGGCCAAGAAGUCUUGAAUAUUUUUAAGAUACAAGAUUUUUUUAUAUUUGAACAAUAACCUUCAGGGACUUUCAUACCAUAGAAAGAAUUGCAAACCGCUCUCUUAUCUGCUCUUGACAAAUUCUAGGGCCUUGGAGGCAAGCGAGUACGUCUUUCUCAAUACUCGGGUUGCAAAUCAUUUUUGACCCCCAUGUUCAAUAAAUCUAACCGAACAGCAAUCUCAUCUUUAUUUUUUCUAGGGAUCUCCAGCAAUGUACCAAUGAUACUAUCGCAAACAUUCUUCUCAAUAUGCAUAACAUCUUGGACAUGCCUCAUAGGAAGGUAUUUCAAAUACUCGAGAUCAAAGAAUUUUGAUUUCUUAUUCCAACAAACUCUGUCACCAUCAUUCUCAAAAACACUUCCCCCAUUUUUCGAGCCCCAUAUGUAAUUAAUAUCUUCAACCAUGUCCUAUUCAAGUUAAUGGUUCGGGAGGCGUGCCAUAUUCAAGUUUUCCAUUGAAAGCUGCACGCUACCUCCGACAUGGAUGAUUGAUUGGUAACCAUUUUUUAUGACCAAUGUAACAAAUUUUGGGGCCAUUUUCAACCUGUGACUAGGUGUAUCAUCGCCGCAUAUUGGACAAGCUUUAUAUCCUUUAACGACACUGUAACACCCCGACUCUAAAUUAAUCCCUUAUUUAAUUAUUUAAAGAAAAUUACAAAUUUACCCUUAAGAUAGGGGUAUUUUGGUCAUUUUCUUACCCGAAGAGAGUUUGGGGCAGUGACUAGUAUUUUUGGAUAGGUCGUACUGAGACGAGUUCAUAGACACGUAGUGGGCUCGAAUCGAAGUUGUAACGAGAGAGAUAUGGUCAAAAGAAACCCAAUUGCACAAUCAUAAUUAUUUCGAAAUGAGAUUUUUAUAAAAAUCAGAUUUUUUUUUCUCUCUCUCUCUCUCUCCUCGUCGGUCUCUCUCCCUCUCCUCGAAACUCCGGCCAUCGGCCACGGCUGUGGACGGGGCCGGUACCAAAAUGACCGAGGCGUUGUCCUCCUCUAAUCCCAGCUAGGUCCCGCCGUCAGCCGCCAUGGUUUCGCCGGAAAAUGGAGAAGAAGCGGCCGGCGUCGUCCGAAGUUCUCCGCCGUUGAUCUCCCUCUUCCGGUCACCGAUUCCGACGAGUGAGGUAUGGUUUCUCACCUACUUUUCAUGCUCUAGCUGCCUGCUGGGUAUGAUUGGAUUGAUUUUUAGCGUAGGCAAUUCGAUUUUCGCAUUGAAAUUCGGCUAAUUUUGGAAUCACGAUUCCGGCUAGUUCUGGUCAGUUUUUGGGGUAGAUCCAAGAACAAAAGUGGCUCCAAAUAGGGUGUUAUACCUAGGGUAGGAGUUUGGAGCCAUGGUUUUGAGAUUUUCCGGCGAUACGUAAUCGCUUUAGACACCCAACGCUGCCCGCACGUGUGGCAGUGCGUGGGCGAGGGUAGUGAAAUAGCACUAUGUCUCGAUGAGAUCCUUAGGUUGUCACGAGUGCGUAGGAUUUCGCGGAUCUCAAUUCGGACGUCGUUUGACUAUCGAACGGAUUUUCGUAUAUUGCGCGUCAUCCGGGUUCGAUAGGUUGGGACCGUUGGAUGGUCUCGAAUAAAAUAUAUGUUAAUCUAGGUAUUUCUAGGAUCAUGUAGGAAUUCACGGAUUAUAAAUCGGAGCCCCGGAUAUUCCGAAUAAAUAAUUUAAAGUUUAUGUUUUAUAAUAACCGUCACAUCGUGCGAUCGUGAGCGAUCCGACCGGCCGAUCUGGACCAAACUUACAGAACGAGUGUCCUAUACCUUGAAGAACCCAUAGGAAUUUUCAGAUCGAAAUUUGGAGGUCGUGGGCCCCGUGGGCCCAUUUGACUAGGGGUAGGGUAGUUUGACCCUUAGUUGACCGUGAGUCUCCCGGAGUAAUCUCACCUUUCCAGGGGGAUUAUCGGGUGCUAGACUGUUGUUGAGGUUUACACGAUAUUAGUAGUAAAUUAUAUAUUUAUAUACAUUUGUAAAGGUAAAAAAUAAGUCCAGAAUGUCAGUUUGAAGUGCUUUACGCACUACCUUAGGUACCUCCCCGGAUUUUAGUUACACUACAAGUACCACCCUAUGAAAGUUAGGUCCCACGUGGCGUAGGUUAUCCGGCGUGCGGACAGGCCCUAUACGUGGCAUUGGUAGUAUCGGUGUAUGGGGAGAUUACGUGAUAAUAUGUUGAGGUCACACGUGGCGUAGGUUAUCCGGCGUGUUGACAGACCCCAUACGUGGCGUUGGUUGUACCGGCGUAUGAGGAGAUAUUGUGAUAUGAUAUUCAGGUCUCGCGUGGCGUAGGUUAUCCAGCGUUGAGACAGACCCCAUACGUGGCGUUGGUUCUACCGGCGUAUAAGGAGUUUAUGUGAUAUUAUGUUGAAGUCGCGCGUGGCGUAGGUUAUCCGGUGUGUCGACAGACCCCAUACGUGGUGUUGGUUGUACCGGCGUAUGGGGAGAUAUGUGAUAUGAUGUGCAGGUCUCGCGUGGCGUAGGUUAUCCGGCGUUGAGACAGACCCCAUAUGUGGCGUUAGUUGUACCGGCGUAUGGGAAGAUAUUGUGAUAUGAUAUUCAGGUCUCGGGUGGCGUAGGUUAUCCGGCGUGUUGACAGGCCCCAUACGUGGCGUUGGUAGUACCGGUAUAUGGGGAGAUUAUGUGAAAUACAGAGAAAUGAAAUAAGGUAUUGCCUAUGUGUGGAAUUGGGUUUUAAGGAAGAACUACGUGUGGCUUGAUCCCUCAGGGAGGGUACGUAGGCAGCCUAAGGUUAUUAGGUGUAGCCGCGGACAUAGACGUGAUUGUGUUAGGAGGUUAAAACCUCGUAUGUUGAAAUUGAGAAAAUUAGAUGAUGUAUGUUGAAAUUUAGUAGUCGUAAUUUAUAUUUAAAUUUAUCGUUUGCCUUGUUUAAGGCAUGAAUUGAUUUGCUAGCAUGCUUGGUAGUUGAGAAUUAUAGAAAGGCCGAAGGCCGUUUAUGUGAAUUGCAUGGAAUUAUAUUGUGCAUGCUGCCAGUUGUAGUUAUUAAAUGUGUUUUUAUGCAGGUUGAAAUUUUGGGAAAUGUCCAAUUUACAGGGGAGACUCUGCCGAAAUUUCGGCAGAAAGUCUCGGUCUUUAGUAAGUGGGCCUGACAUCGAGGUGAUGUCGGGGAAUCCACAGGAUCCGCCUCGAUUUUUGGAAAAAUCGGGGCGGUUCCUUUCAGACACAACCAGAUAAGUUCUCAUAGGCAGAAAAAUCAUUAAUUGUUCACAGUAAUACACCUAUGAGUGUAAAGUAAUCUCCUAUGUGUGCAUCAUACACUCCUUUAAUCCCAUCCCACAAAGAUUUUAAAUCAUCAAUCAGAGGCUCUAAGUAGACAUCUAUAUCAUUUCCAUUCUAUUUAGGACCAGAAAUCAAUAAGGUCAAUAUCAUGAACUUCCAUUUCAUGCAUAGCCAUGGUGGGAGAUUAUAUGUAACUAAGAUAACCAACAAUUGUAUCUGCUACUUAAAGAACUGUGGGGAUUGAAUCCAUCAGAUGAGAGAGCCAAUCUCAAGUUUCUUGGCUCUUUACUGAACUCGGGCCAUUUAUCAUCAACAAGUUUUUAAGACGGGAAAUUCGCUGGAUGAGACAUAUGACCGUCAAUUGCUUUUCUAGCAACAUGCCAAGUCAAACUCUUAGCUGUCAUAUGUGAUUGAAACAUCCUUUUAAACCUUGGAAUUGGAGGAAAAUACCACACCACCUUCGCUGGCACACUCUUUUUCAAGAUUGAAUCUUUGCAUUCCUUCCACCUUGAGAUACCACAAGUAGGACAAUUAGUUGAAUCUUCAUAAUCAUUCCUAUACAAGAUGCAGUCAUUGGGACAUGCAUGGAUAUUCUCAUAACUCAUCCCUAAAGGAGAUAAUGUCUUUUUUGCCUCGUACAUAGAGGAAUAUAGUGUCUUUCCUUCUGGAAGCAAAUCUCCUUGAAGUAUCAAUAAUUCUAUAAAACAAACAUCACUCAUCCCAUGUUUUGCUUUCAAAUUAUAUAACUUCACCAAAGCCGACAACAUCGUGUACUUACUGCAACCAGGGUACAAGGAUUGAUCUCAAUCCCCAAUCACAUUGGCAAACUCAUAAGGAUCAAAUCCAAUAUCGCCUAAAUCAUUAUCAUCCAUCCCUACUUCUUUAGAAACAAAACUGAACCUACUUUGCUCAUCUUCUUCCACAUUUCUACUAGCAUUAGUAGUCAAUUCCCAAGGUUCUCCGUGCCAUGUGCAAAUCUGAUAGCUUUAGUCAAUUCCAUUAAAGUAUAAGUGGUCCCUCAUAAUUCCAACCCCAAACAAUCGAAUAUUCCCACAUUUAACACAUGGACAACGAAUAUGAGUUGUAUUUCCAAGAUUUUCUACAGCAAAAUUCAAAAAUCCUUCCACCCCUAACUCAUAUGCCUUCGGUCUUCUAUCCGCAUGCAUCCAUGACUUAUCCAUCUCACACACUAUAAAAUCAUAUAUAUAAUAAAGUGAAAAGACCAGCAAUGAAACACUACUUUAUUCACAUAGCAAAGAAUGAAUUGAAAAAAAAAAUUAACCAAGAAUCAGACGACGGUUUUUACAAAAAAAAUCGUCCUGUAACAGAGGGUCAGACGACGGCAUAUCUAGUUAUCGACGUCUUUAAGCUACCCAAACCCAGAUAUUUGUAUUGCUUUUUGAAGAACCGGGUUCUGGGUUCUGGUAAACAAAAGAUGACGGUAAAUGGAGAAACACCGACGUAUCCUAAAACUUGAGACGACGGUUUAUUUCACCAACCGUCGUCGUAGUUUACGAAAAACAGAAGUCUAAAUCUCCCAUCCUCAUUCCUUUUCUAAGAACCCUUAACAAAAUGCAAACAUCAAAAUAUAAAAGAGCCAUAUAUAGCUCCCAAUUAAGAAACCAAAGCUACCAAAACAUAUAUUAAUAAACCAAAGCUACCAAAAUGAACGAAAACAUUUAUGGGUUUUACAAACUAAGAGAAUAUUGAGAGAGAGCUGAGAGAAUAUACUUACAUGGAUAUUGAGAGAGAGCUGAGAGAAUAUAACAAAUGCUUGAGAGAGAGCUUAGAGAAUAUACACAAUGCUUUGAGAGAGAGCGAAAAAUUUAAGACAAAUUUAUGUUGAAGAGAGAGAAGGAAAUAUUUUAGGGUUAAAGGGAAAUUCUGAAAAUUUUAGAUCACCGUCAAAAUUUUCAAAGGACCGCGUUUUUCAAAGACGGCUAAGGAAAACUACCGCCAUUGUAAAUCAUUUUACUACGACGGUUGAGGAAAACUACCGCCAUUGUAAAUCAUUUUUAUGUCGCCUCUAUAAAAACCGACGUCUAAAAUAUUAAAUAAUUAGAUUUGGUUUGCAUUUCGUGGGAUUCUAACGUGCGUAAUUGACCAAAAAGAGCGAGAGAAAACCAGCGUCGUUUCUAUAAAACCUAAACCCUAAACCCUAAACCCUAAACUCUAAAACCUAAACACUGAAAAAAUUAACCAAAAAUUGCUAUGGACUCCUUACAACAAUGCCUUCUAUAUUAGUAGGCUAAAAUCGGGAUUAAAUAAUUUUGAAUUUUAUGACCACCAAUGGAUCACAUAAACCUUAGGGUUAUGUUUAUGGAAAGUAUAAGGAUUAUUGUGUUUUGUCUCUAAAUCUUUUUUACUUUUGUUAUCACUUGUAACUUUGAAAUCUAAAAUUAAAAUUUUCAGGCCUUUAGGGGGGAGAUAUUGUCUCAAUGUGUUUAUAGAAUUUGAGACUGCGAAGGUUCUAGCUGAUUGACUAAGGAUGAGGCAGGAUGGAUGGAAGGUUUGCUUGGAGAUUCUACCUUUGUCAGCUCUUCUGGUUGACAUGUUGUUUAUUCUGCCUGAGGAACUACUUCUAGAUUUUUCCCUUUUCUAGCAGAACUAGUCUCUGGAAGUACUUGUGUGUCAUCCUUAUUCUUGAGGAAGACGCAGUAUUGCCUUUGAACUCUCCUCUUUUGCAUUCUGGUUAGCUUCAGAGUUGGUCUUCGGCUUUUUCCAAUAGAAUAUCAUCUACCUUCUAUGAUAGUUGCAAAGGGCUUGUCAUUUCCAGGCAUCUUAACUGGUAUUUCCUUCUUUGGCUGCUCUAUUAUUCUCUUGUUGCGUUGGGCAGGCCUUAAAUAGUCCUUCUGUCUGGCUCUAUCUCUAGGUGGAGCCGGAACUAGGCCUUGUUGGUAUGAUGUUCCAAUCCUGUCAAAAACACAAGGUGUGGGCUGACUUUGCCUAACCAGAGUUACCUCUAACUCACUUUCACAUUUGCACCUGUUGCACAAAACUACCCCAGCCGAAAUGGUUGCUUUUGGUCUUCAAUUAGCCUAUCUUUGGACUCUUCUGCCUAUGCUGGGGCUAACUUUUGCUGUUAGUUUGCCUUUCUUUUGUUUUGGCCAAUUUAAGUUGACCAUGUUGACUUGAGGUUGGGGAAAAGGGUCUGUUGUUAUCGAAUGAGGUUUCUCAGCCAGUUUUAGCCUCCAUGCUGUUAUUCCUUCCUGUAUGACGUCCCUGAAAACAACACAACUAUUGGUGGAAUGGUCCCAGGAGUUAUGCCAUCUGCAAUACUGUCUGCCCUUGAGUUCCUCUAGCUUGGGCAACUUGUAGGGUGUUUCUAUUGCCUUCUGUCGCAGCAUGUCAUCAAACAGGGCAUCAACCUUGGUUAAAUCGAGGGAAUAGACUUUGUUAUGAGCUGGUUUGUUUGGAACAAACCCUCUUGUGAAUGGUGGUGGCUUUUGGUCCUUUGGUGGCUUUGUUAAAGCCUUGCAACUGAUGAGAUGUUUUAAUUUCCCCAUUUCUGCCACUGCAACUUCUCUCUCCUCCGAGCUUUCUAUGCCUUCUUCUGAUUCUACCUCAACAAGAUUUACUGAAGAGGAUGGGGUUUUGUAAUAUGUGCCUUUGAAAGAGUUCCUCUUCUAUUGUUCUUCCCUGAGCAGCUCCUUGUAUUUAGAUGCUUUGUCUGCUAGUUCUGCCAGAUCUCCAAACAGCAUCCCAUCAAAUUUUUUUCUCAGAGAGAUUUUAAGGGAGAUUUGAGCCAUUUGGAUGAAGUGCCCUUCCUCCAUAGGGAUUCAAAAUUUCAUUUUGAGCUUUUUGAACCUGGUUAUGAAGUCUUGGGCAGGCUCAUCUUCCCUCUAUUUCCAGGUUUGAGGGCAGCAAGAUCACUGAUGGUGACUUCUGGCUGAAUCCUAAAAUAGUAGUCAUGGAAGACAUUUUCCAUCUAUUUCCAGGUUUGAACAGAAUUGGCUGGUAAGCUAGUAUAUUAGAUGAAGGCUUGUCCAGAGAGAGAAUUUCGAAAAAGCCUUAGUUUUAACAGAAGGUUAUUUUCUAUGGCUAUGCACUGGAAAGAGAAUCUGCCUAUAUGCUUAACUGAUGAAGCAUGGGUGUCUUCUCCGUUGAACAAGGUGAAGUGUGGUACCUUAAAGCCCAGGGAUAGAGGUAUUUGAUCGAUAUAAGCUGGAUAAGGCUUUCUGUAGGUGGGCCUUUCUCCUCUUCUGGCCUCAGGUUCCAUCAUCUCUCUGAUCAUUCUAUAAAGUGCCCCCAUGUCAUUCAAAGCAUUGACAUGAUGCGGGGUUCGCCCCUGUUCUGGCUAGUUGUGUUCAAUCCUUUGUUCUACUUUAUAUGGCCUGGGCAGAACUUCCUCCCUAUGCUCUUCCUCUUUUUCGAAAUCUGGAUGAUUCCUUUAGUUUGCCCCCGGUCUGUUUUUGUCAUUGUUGGCAAAGGGUUUAACUCCUACUCUACCUCUCAUGCCACUUGCUAGUGGAGGGAAUGGAUUGGGGUCCAUCCUUCUAGGUCUGUAGGGCAACACAACUGGUUGCUCAGGCAGAAGUGCCAAGGCCUGAUCACGUGGGGCCACUAGUUGUGGAAUAGGUGGAGGUUCUGGCUAGUUCUGAGGGGGUCUGAACUGGUGCAGAGCCUUCUGGAUGAACUGAAUCCUCAUGUUCUUGGAUGGGAAGGGCUCCUCCCCUCUGUCCAGCUUGGAUUUCUCCAUGUCCUGGUAUUCCAGCUAUCUGUGUGAUGAGAGGCUUCUCUUCAUAUGGCCAUGCCAGUCCUGGUAGAGGUCCAAAAGGGAGAUCUAGCUGCUGGACCACCAUGUCUAGGUUUGGAAUUUUGGCAAUAGUAGCCUCACGGUCCUUCCUGAACUGCCUGUUGACUUGCCAUUACAUCAUGGUUGUCAUGUUGUUUAGAGUAUCUUGGCUCAUUUGUGCUGUGGCUUCUUGCCGAAACACAGCCUCCUGUAUCUAGUUUAACCUUCUGGAACCAGACAUGGAACGUCUACUCGUGGUACUGCCAUGGGCUGAUUACCUAGCAUCACUUUCUUUUGACUCAAGUCCUUUUCGGAGAGCUGCUUGAUCUCUUUUCAUGGCAUAGCGUGGAUUCUGGCUAGAACUUCCAAUAUUCAUAUACUAGAGGAUUUUUCUAGAAAUAUAUGUAUUGAGAAGUCCCACUGGGCGUGCCAAAUUGUUCAUCCGUUUUAGAUUUGUUCCUGUGAUGGUAGGGUAAAGUUCCUCAUUGACUUGAAAACCAUUGGUGGUCAAUAAGUCAACUUUCUUUUGUGUACAAAUGUGCCACUGCUAGCAAUAAAAACCCUAGCAGACUUCUUAAAAAUAGAAAACUUGUGCCCAAGUUAUUAACUUCUAAAUAAGCGAUUGUGAAUUUGGGCGAGGAAUAUCUCCCAAGUAAGUUCUUUUCUUUGCCUCAGAUUGGUGAGGACUUCACAAUUUUUCACAGUACAAAACUGGUAGUUCUAGCUAGAAUAAAUGAUAAGAAAGUGAACUGUUUUCAGGCAGAACUACCUUUUACAAAGCUUAAAAAGGAAGACCAACUCUAAAAAGACAAAAAGAGCUUUUGGACUUCAAUUUCUGCUUGGAUAAAUGCUUCUGAUCCGGGCUGGACUGGGUAUGUUUGUGCUGGACUGGACUAUCAACACCUUCAACUGUCAAGUUUUAGCUGUCAAUGAAUACCAAUGUUCGAGUGUGGCAAAGCUUCAAUCUAUUUCAAGCCGUGCAAGGCUUUUUGAACGGACAGAAUUGGAACCUCUUCAGUCUGGAAGGGGUAGAAGUGGCUGAAUUUGGUGAUUACUGAGCUGGAACUGCACUGUAGUACCUGUUCUGCUUGAUCAGGGCUCUCCAUAAAUUUGUUGAGGUUUUAAUAUUGGUAAAACCCGAAGCUUAUGUUGAACCAACUUUGUAACGAGAGAAAUCUUGCUUUGAAUGACUAUUUCUCUGAAACUAAACAGAAGUUAGAGAUUCUGGAAUAUAGCUGACUUGUUUCUUAUGGCUCAAUGAGCUUUUGGUUGCUUCAGUGUUUUGAAGGCUUUUGAGAUCAAGUGAUCAUUUUGAGUUUUUAUUUUUGAUUGAUUUUUUGGCUGUCCUUUUAUCUGUUCACCUCAUCUCAUAUUUAUAGAAUAUACUGGAGUGUGAUUUCUAAUCUUUUAAUAAUGGGCGGCAAAUCUUUUAAAAGAUCUUUUUUUCUUUUUUCAAUGUCAUAAGAGAAGGAAGCUACUAUUCUGACAGAGAAAGGUUGUCAACAAUCAUCUUUCAAUUUUUCUAUGUUCACUUUUUGUUCUUUGUAAAGAGAAAGAACACAAUCUACCAUGAUGGUCAGUGUGCUUUUCCUGUUGAACAACUCCCUCGUUCUCUACUUAUCUCUUGAAAACGUAGUCUGCUUAUCUCUUGGAAAGACCACCUGAUUUGGUGCAGAGCUUCUCUAUAUAUAUAUAUAUAUAAAGGGAUUUUGAUCUUCUUCUUUUGGCUGAAAAAAUAGAGAAGUCUUUCUGUAAGACCUGCCUUCAUUAAUUUUCUAUCAACUUCUCUGUAAUAGUUGAAAAUUUUGACUUUUCAAAGCCAGGUAUUCACGUGGGGUUGUUUAGAAAAGAUCUGUUGAUUUUGUCAAUCUUUUAGGGUAGAGAUUAAAUAGCGUAAAAAGGCUGGGCUAGUCUCUUUUUCUUAGUAGAUAAAAAGCCCAAAUAUUUUGUCUCACUGCCCUUUUCUGGAAAAUAAAUGGGCUGGGUGUGUUGGAAAUUGGCCCAAUCUUAAGAAAGACUCUGGUGGCUGCCCAAAAUUGACAUAGGCUUUUCUUGAUUUUGGGCUGGGCAUGCCAAAUUAGGCCCAAACAAUGCCCCUUAAGUCUGAAUUGUUUUUGGAAUAGUUUCAGACUUAAUGAUUUGGCCAUUAAUUUGUGCGCGCCAUUUCCUUCUGUUAGCCCACAUCUGCCACGUCUGCCUAUUAUGAUCAAGACUUCGUGGGAAAGUGGGCAGUUACUAGCUAGUUAUUAUCAGGUGGCGUCUUGUCUUCUUCUUCCCACGAUUUCGAGUCUUUCUAAGAAAUUUAAAAAGACCUCAGCUCCUGUUUACUCAAAACCUAACUUCUUCAGACCUUGAUUUUCCUCAGUUUUCUCAGAAUUUUUACCCUUUUCUGCGAUCAAACCCUGCUUCCUUUCAGUUUGAUUCCCCUAUCCUAGCUCAAAACCCGAAAAUGUCUUCUCCAAAAAAUCGUGCCCAGACUUCUUCUUAUUCUGUUCCUCCUACCUACAUUACUGGGGCCGGUGUUGAUAAGCAUGUGAUUGAAGUCCGGAGCAAGCUUCAUCCUUUUGCCCAGAACGUUCUGGACAAGAACGUGUUACAUUUGUUCGAGAACACUCUUGUUUUGGAGCCUCAUCGGUUUGGUUCUGUCCCGACUGAAAUGGCAGAAUUGUUUAAAGAAUAUACUGAAGCUCCUCUAUGCUUUCAGAGCUCUUUCGUAGAUUUCAGUUUUAUAUAUAAACUAUCGUGUUUCUCCCUAUAACAUGUCGUUUUUAAGAAUUGUUGUCAAUGUUUUAUUUCCUGCUACUAUAAGACGGCGAUUAUUUAUACAUAUGAGACGUGUAAAUUAGAAUGAGACGUCAGUCUUUGGGAUUUAAAUUAAGUUUUUACGAUUUAAUGUCAUUUUAGUUCAUAUAAGGACAUAAAUGUCCUAACCAAAAAUAUAUUUAUGUACAUUGUCAAUAAAUUAAAAUAAACCUAAACAUUGUUAAAAUAAAUUAGAUCACUUAUUAUUCUGUAAUUACUUGUUAACGAAUUCAGCCCAUUCCAACCUGACUUCGUCAAUAUGUUCUUAUACAUACUGAACUGGUUCCUUUUUCUUAUCAAACUGCAAAUAAAUAACAAAAACCAACGUGUUAUAAAGAUUACAACGACUGCUUUUAAAGAAAAAGUUGUGGUACUAAAAUAAAGAAUUUAUAUCUUAAGUUUUGCCUUUUACCUUCUUCUCAAAUGCUAGGCCUGGAUCAUGAAUUAUAUCUCUCAUGAAAUGCAUCACGUAAUAGCCACACUCUACAUUUGUUGGUUGUCGAGGAGUGCCAUGUAGAUUUUUCCAUAUGACUGAUUUACAUGAUGAUUAAUUGCCUGUGUGAGAGUUAUACAUUUUGAUUGAACUGUUUCAAGAAAAUGAAAAGUGUUAAUGAUAAAAAUAAAAAUCUAAAGCAAAAAUAUUAAACGUCGUGGUAAAUAAGUGAAGACGAUGGUUUUGUUAAAAAAGUGAUGUUGUAUUUCAUUUCAAACGUUGGUAAAUAAAAACCGUCGUUGUGUAGAAUUCUAACGUCGGUGACGAUGAAAAAUGACGUAUAACCAAAAAUUGUUUGUAAAUGAAAGUUGAACAGAAAAAAAUAAAACUUCCUUAAAUGAAAAACACAAACGACGUGGUAUUUCAAUUAAAAUGACGGUUUACAGAAAAUACUGACGUUGUAAAUGAUUUCAAACAUCGGUUUGAAGUUACCAUCGUGUUUUCAUUGUAACGUCGGUAUUAGAAAAAGCCGUAUAUCAUUCAAAUGCAAAUAAAAAAAUGUUAGAUUUUCAUAGAUAAACUUACAUAUUCACUAUAUUUCUCAUGUCCUCGUCAACAACGCGGUUUGGCAAUGAAUCCAUGUAAUAGAUAGUCUCCUUCGCUGGUCUCACAAUUAUUAACACCCAAUGACCCCUACACAUAAUGAUCCAUAUAGGUUAAAUAUACUAGAAAGAAAAAUAGGCAUCAAGUAUAGUUAAGGGGACUAACCUUGGAUUACAAGGCACCAUGUAAAAUUGAUCCCCAUUUGCGUUUUUCAGGCGGUCUGAGAGAUGUUUCAAACGGUAAGAUAACGUUCCAGAUUGAGAGCUGACUUGUCCAAGGUCCACGAAGCCAAUAAGGUUUACCAUAUUUUCUAUUUUUAAAUAGUCAAAUAGGCACCUAAAUAUAUGAAAUUCAAUUAAAUGAGAUUUUAACUUUAAAGAAAGGAAAUGUAUAAUGCAAUCACUGUGGAUCCAAUCUCAACCAUGGAAGGAAAUUGUAAAAUAUCUUCACACAAGAGGAAGGUAUCAUGGUUAAUGCCAAAGGCUUCCUCUGGAAUGUGAAUUCUAAUGGUCUCGUUAAUGGGCUUCAACUUGGUCUCGACAAAUUGAAAUAAGGCUAACAGAGGAGGUGGCAUGUCUAGCUUUGAGAGAUCCUGUUACAACAAAUAAAUAAAGAAAUAUAAGUUAGUUUGUACACUAAGUAAAAUAAACGACUCUAACUAAACCAAUCAAACCGACGUGGUAUAUAAUAUAAUCGACAGUUUCUAGAACAUACUGAAGGAGUAAAGGUUAUAGACGACGGUAAAGACAUAACCAUCGUUAUGUAAAUGUUCUAACGUCGCUGCAUUAUGGAAAGGUCGUCUAAUUAAAAUGCAGUGAAGCCUUUAUUGAAAUACACGACAGUUUAUAAAAUAAACACCGACGUAGUAAAAUACUGAGACGACGGUUAUCAGCAACGUCUAUUUGAAAUUAUAAAUCAGAAAAAAUCAAAUAUCAAAGAUUUUACCGUUUCAUCUUGCCAUUGUUUAGCAACAUCAGCAUCAUUCGUGGGAUUUUCUUCCUCCAAAACAAGGGGUCUCACAUUAGAGCAGCUUGCUUUGUCAGACAUUAGAUUUUUUGGAGUAAUUGGAGUUUUAUUGAGCAAGUUGGGAUCACAGUUGGGAAUUAGUUGACUGAAUUGUUUCAAUAAAAUUUCCCUCUCUGCUCUGACUGCCUCCAAAACAGUUUCUUUUGCCUUAGCUUUAAUCUUUUUGGUUUCUUCUCUCACUGCCUCCAUAACACUUUCCUUCAAUUUGUUAGCAAAUUUUACUCUCUGCUGUCUCGACAAAUUGAAGAAUUGAGUUGGGGAAACCCCAGCUCCAACACCUCUAACUCUCCCACCAUGCUCAGGGGUUCCCAAAGCCAAGGUCAAAAUAUCGUUGCUCUCAGAGACAGCAGAGUGCCCUCGGAAACUUGUUUUUUCAAAUCAUCCUAAAAGUGAGAGAGAGAGAGAGAGAAUGUUAGUGAGUGAACAGAUAGUAAAACAGAUUAAAUAAACAACUAUACAAAAAUAUUAACCGACGUGGUAAAGACUUUAAAAAACUGAAAUCAAUCCCCAAUAGUAACAGGGACCAUGCAGCAACGAUUUGGUUGACAGUAGUAUAGGUUGGAGAUGCUGUUGAUCAUUAGAUACUAUUUUUUUAAAUAUCAAUUCUGUAACAUCCAGACCUAAAAAAUUAAUGAUUUUGAUUUAAAAUUAAAUUUAAAUAAGCAAUUACGAAUUUACCCUUGGGGAAGGGGUAUUUUGGUAUUUUUUUUUUAUUCAGAAAGAGUUUGGGGCAGUGACUAGUAUUUUUGGGUAGAUCGUACUGAGACGAAUCCGUAGACACGCGGUAGGCCUGAAUCGGAGUUGUAACGAAGAAACGGUGACCAAAAUUAGUCCAGUGGCAAACUUGUAAAUAUUUUGAACUUGGGUGUAGAAAAAUCUGAAACUGGCUUCCUCUCUCCUGCGUGCACACGUCCUUCUCUCUCUCUCCUCUCUCUCUCCUCGAUACCAUCACUCUCUGUCUCUCUCUUCGAUUCUCUCAAUUCUGGCCACGGCAAGGGCCGGGACUGGUUCCGAUCAACUCCUCACAAAGCCCCGAACCAGAACCACCACUUUUCUUGGCCGGAAAGCUCGAGUUUCGCGUGGUAAUCUCGACUGGUUUGAACCAGUUUUCCUCCGUCAUUGUGCCGCCGCCAUCGCAGCCCAAUCUCGGUUAAACAAGUGAGGUUUCUUACUCUUUUUCCGAGCUCUAGCUGCCUGUUGGGUAGGAUUGGAUUGAUUUUUUGUCUAGGAUCCCGAUUUUGAAACCUAAGUUUUGACGAAUUUCAAAGUGAAAUUCCGGCCGGUUGCCGUCCUAAUUAGACCUCCCCGUAGUUGAAUAAAGUGAUCCUCGCUUCGAGUAGUAGCUAAGGUAGGAAUGGUGAAUUGCGGUGUGGAGUUUUUCCAUCACUGAAAAUUACUCUACACAUCCACGCGUUGCCAGGGCAUGUGGAGGCGCAUGGGCAAUGUGGUGAGACCACAUUUUAUCCUGAUGUAGUCUCCUAGUCCUCACGUGCGCGUAAGUGUGCUCGAAUUUCAAUUCGAAUGUUGUUUGACUAUCGAACGGAUUUAUGCAUAUUGUUUCUUAUCCGGGUUCAAUAUGUUCGGACCAUUGGAUCGAGUCCAAAUUUACGUAUGUUAAUCUAGGCACCCCUAGGAUCAUGUGCGAAUUCGCGGAUCGUGAAUCGGAGCCCCGAAUGUUCCGAUUCAAUAAUUUGAAGUUUAUGGUUUGCGAUAACCGUCAAUUUCUGACCAAACCUACAGGACGUGUUUCCUAAACCCGUAGUCGGACCUUAGAAUACUCGUUAUGCGUGCACGCACCGGGAACUUGAGAAAAUUAGUAUUUAAUUUGUAAAUUCCGUUUUGAAGUGAUUUUUUAUUAAUUAAGGGUGCGUAUCUCGAAAUAGGUGCUCCAUCACUAGCACGCAGCAGGUAGGACCCUCUUGAGGUCAGGCAGUGUGGGACUACUUGUGAGUGGACAUUUAUUUUAUAUAUGCAUUAUUUUCAAUGAUUGAAAGAAUAUGCAUGAAAUAUAUAUAUUUUUUGGAAUAAAGAUUGAGAAAUUCAUAUGUUGUUAUAUCAGUAUUAUUUAAUUUAGAAUUUGGUUUGAUUUGAUGAUGAGUUAUAUAAAGGUCAAGUUAUUCGUGAUUAAGUCUUGGAUGAAUUUUGGGGGAAUCGGGAAUUGAAUAUUAUGGUUUAUGGUGGGAACUUAUAUGAUUACACUGUGUGGAGUACCAUCCCCUAGUUACUAGGCUUCCCACAUGUGGCGUUGGAAAUUUUCCAGCGUGUGAUGAUGUAGUCUGCACGCAUAGGACUUAGUAUUGGAGCUACACGUGGCGUUGGAAUUUCCGGCAUGUAAGCUAUGGAGUUUCGUCCCCCGGUUGGACCGCUCAUCCCUAGACGCAGGAUAGCAACUGAAAAUCUUGCGGGUUAGCCAAACAAUCCCCCGGUUGGAUUGUUUCCCCGGUACCUAAGUAGUGUGAUAAAUAUUAUGUAUAUUUAUAGAUAUAUAUAUUUCUAUGUGUGUGUGUGUGUGUGUGUGUGUGUGUGUGUGAGUAUAAAUCAGUUAAAGUAUAUGUAGUGGUUGGGUAAGAGCAGUAUAAAUUUUGGGGAUAAAGUUUAUGGAUAGAGUGAUUGAUCUCAAAGGGUUUCGGAGAAUGAUGUUUUUGAUCAUUAAAUAAAAGUUAUGAAUCUGCAUGUCUUGAGCAUUAUUUUUAGACGGUGGGGUUAUUAUGUUGUUUUGAAUGCAAAUUUUGUUUUUCCACUCACAUGUUUUCUGUUUUGCGCCCCCCAAACAGUAGUCGCUCAAGGGAGAGUUGCAAGCCAUGUUCGAGGCCCCGAACUGUGAACAUCAGUAGAUUAGGUUUCGAGUAAUUUCUUUCUACUCAACUGGAUGUUCUUGUAAACUAAAUUCGUUAGAUGCUCUAUUAUUGCCCCUGUUAGGUUUUACUUGUGAGGCCAGAGGCCAUUUAGUUUAUACUGUUGAAUAAUAAAUGCAUGCUGCUGGUUGGGAUUAUAUUGUGCUUAUGCAGGUUGAAAUUUUUGGGAUUGUUCAAUUUACAUGGGAGACUCUAGCAAAAUUUUAGUAGAGAGUCUCGGUUUUUAAUAAGUGGGCCAGGCAUCGGGGUAAUGUCGGAAAUAAGACUGGAUUCGUCCCGGUUUCCGAAGAAUUCGAGGCGGGUCCUGUCAAGUUCCUCCUAUUAACAAUAAUAAAUUAAAUAUUUAUAUAACUGAUAACAGUUCCUCAUAUUAACAAUAAUAAAUUAGUAUUUUGUAUAAUAAACAUGUUUAAUGAAAUUCAUCUUCUUCUAGCAUGUUUAUUUAAAUUCUAAGUUUUCUGAAGAAAAAAAAAAAAAAAAAGGAGAAGGAAAUGUCCUAAAUUAAAUCUUAAAAGUUCAUUUUUUUCUGUCCCUAUAUAUUUUUUACCCAAUUAUAAUUUGAGAAAAAAAGGUGAAUUAACUGUCAUUUCACCUUCAUCAUUUUCAUGAUUUAUAUAAGAUUCUUCAAAGAUCAUUUCCACAAAAAAUUACUUAAAUUCGAAUCCAUUUAACCGUCUAAUUAAAUCGUUAGGACCGUUGAAAUAAAAUUUAAAGUGAGUUUAAAGUGAGUCCUACUAUGUCUCCCUCAAAUAAGAUCAUUUACAGGAUCUGUCGAGUCAUAUGAGAAUGUUUAGCUUUUCGAUCCCAAGAGUUUGGUUCGAUUUUCAUAUAUAUAUAUAUAUAUAUAUAUAUAUAUACAAGUCAAUUUACUUUAAAAAGUUCACCAAAUUUUAUUUUUGGUCUCGGUAGUUUGCUUGAGGGCCUUUUUCUGUCAAUCUAUUUGUUGUGAUUGAAAGAUUUUAUAUAAAACAAAAGAUAUGUUUUUAUCUUAAAAAAUGCUUAUUUUCAGAUCUUUACAUAUAGACAUACAUAUGGCCUGAGAAUUCAAGCAAUAAAGACAUAAGCUGAUGAGCAUUCAUAAUCAUUAGAAUGAGUACUGAAUGGUCAACUCUUUCAAAAUACUUCGGAAAAAAACAAAGGACAAUACUUCCUUCCUUACUCAUAAGAAGGAACUCCUUCUCACCUUCUAUUGUCCCUCAACCACAAAGUAACAAGUGUUCUCUUUUUUUAAUUGUCAAUUUUUUUUUUUUCACUUUUACUGAACCCCUAGCUUUUUACCAAAGCAAAAAACACAAAACAAUAUUCCCAUUGUUUUUUUUUUUCAUUUUGAUUUUUUUCUCAACUUUUUGAAAAAUAACAUUUUUCCUUCUUCAGUAAAAAAUUGAAGUCUUUGUGGUUAAAAGCUAAGGUUUCAGUAAAGGUUUAAAAUAAAUAAAAAGUUUUGACAAUUCAAAAAACAGAACACAUAUCACUUUGUGGUUGAGCCGCAAUAGAAAGUAAGAAAGAAUUCCACCUUACCCAUAAGGAGGGAAGUAUUGUCAAAAAGAAAACAUCUUAAAAAACACACAGAAAACCCACCAUCACUACUUAAAAGAAGUAGAGAAGUCCAACAUUCUGAUUUUUAUACACCUACGUGACGUGAGCAUUCAAUAAUCAUCCUACACAUAUGUUGAUGUGAGCAUUCAAAAUCAUUAGAAUGAUUUAAUUGAAGACUCAACGUACGGACGUCUUUUUCACUUAGAUUCCCUUCCUGUACAAACUUGAAUCAGUUCCUCCACGACCCCAUCAAUCUCUUCAUCCUCUUUCUUGUUCACGUUGUCGCUUAUUUUCAAUGCCUUUUUUCUCACUCCCUCUCCAAAUUUCUCCACAACCACAUCUCUAAUCACCUUUGCGACCUCUUCUCUUUGCAAACUUCCUUCACCUGUUCUCUUAACCUCCACACCAACACCCACCUCCUCCACUAGUCUAGCGUUGAUCGGCUGGUCAAGAUGCAUAGGCAUGGCUAUAAUUGGAACACCAAACUUGAUGCUCUCCAACACUGAGUUCCAUCCGCAGUGACUCACAAACCCCCCAACACUAGAAUGCUGCAGUAUCUUUGCCUGUGGGGCCCAACCCUCCAUUAUCACUCCCUUCUCUCCCACCCUCUGUAAAAACCCUUCUGGUAACACCUCUUCAACCCUAGUACUUCUCUCCUCCUUAGAAAAUCUUAUAACCCAAAUGAAGCUCACUUUGCUAAGCUCUAAUCCGUGAGCUAUCUCUUCUAUUUGCUCCUUGGACAGAAAGUACUCACUGCCAAAGCAAACAUACACAACAGAAGACCUUUCCAUUUUGUUCAGCCAUUUCAUGAUCCAUGUUUCCUCAUCAACUUUUUGAUCCAUUGGCUCUUGAACAAGCGUGCCAACAGGCACGAUCUUCUUCCCCGUUAAAUCAGAGAGAUAAUCAAUAUAUUUUUCUUCAAUCUCGCUGGAUGUCUUGACCAAAAUGAUGUUACAAGAUCGAGCACUGCAUUGCUGAACACGGUCUCCGUCUUUGAUGCCAUUUGCUGAAGAUUCCAACAAAUUGUUGAACUUUUCAGCUUCGUAAUGUUGAAGAUAAAUCGAAGGAAAAGGAAACUUGACACUAGGGUUCUUGAGAUGUUGAAUACUAAAUGAAGUAAAGGCAGCACCCAUGGUGGUGAAUUCAAUGGAUGGAAAAUUUUGCAAUGAAGCUAGAGAGGGCGCCCAUGGUUGAAGAACAUCAUAUAUGAGCAAAUCUGGACUUAGGGUUUUGAGGAUGUUGGAGAAGUUGUUGCUGGACAUGCUGAAAGCCGUUUUGAGAGUGGACAUGAGAUGGGGAGGGAGGCCAUUGGUGGUGUGGUAGUGCGGUGGGAGUUCAGGCAAGUCAUCAUGUGGAAGAUGGAGUUCCACAAAUUCAAUGCAAUGAGAAUAUUUUUGGGAGAGUUUAGGCUUGAUGGAGCUGAGAUUUACAGGCGUGGAACAAAUAAAGAUGUGAAAAUUUCUCUUGGUGGUCAGCUUCUUGGCUAGCUCUAGGUAGGGAGAUAUAUGGCCGUGAGCUAGCCAUGGAAGCAAAAGAAUAGUAAGGCUUCUUUGGUCAGAGAAAACCAUAUUUUGUUUUCCUUUGACUUGUUUUCCUUUGACUCUUUUGCUUGAGGUUGCUCGAUUAUAGGCUUAUUGGUAGUUUGUUUGUGGCUAGCUCUAUGCAUAUAUAUAUAUAUAUAUAUAUAUAUAUAUAUAUAUAUAUACACACACAAAAACGCGUGAUGAUUGGAACAUGCACACGUAAGUUCCAGAGAGUGAUGAUUGGCCUAUGAUAAAGACUCGAAACAAGAAUAGUUUAAAUUUUCUUCUUUGUUUGGCUUGAUAUAAGACGAAUGCACCAAACAAACCGACUAAAUGCCGACACAAUAAUUAGGUACGUAAUAAUAUCAACUUUCAUUAUAUAGAUCUGAGAAACAAAAAGUUGAACUUUGAUGACAAGCGAUAUUAAGGAAGGGCACAAUCGAACUUAGGAUCUCGAAUGUUGAAGUACAUGCUCUUAACAACUUGAGCUAUAAGGUAUUUGUAAUGACAAUUUAUGGUUUUAAUUAUACUUUUGAAUAGUUGCUUCCUUCUCUUUCAUUUUUAUUUUUAUUUGUUUAUAUUUAACUCUAAUUUUAUUUAUAUUUCUGGUCAAGGUAUAAAGACUUUGAAUCUCUCUCCAAUUAUUUUUCACAGCCGAAACUCCUUUAGUUUCCACAAAUCUUUUUAAACAUUUCAGGCAUAUGUAUGUUUCCGAGUCGGAUGGUUCACGUAACCAAGAAAUUUAAACUUGUUUUUGUUUGUUCCUCCGAAGAAAGCACAACAAAAGGACAACCUACAACCAAUACUUCUCAUUGAAUUUGUUGCCGUGAAUGAUUAGGACUCUGCCCAAACUAGUAGUUGCGUUUCUGAAUUGUUUGAAAACACAUAUCAAAUUAUGAUUUCUCCUCCCCGAAAGAAAAAUUGACGUAGAAGUAUCAUGAUCUUGAUGACACAAAUUAGAAUCUAGGGUUUUCGAAGUGCCUAAUGGACAACUACUUAUUUAGAAAUAUAUAUAUUUUUGUGGCUAAAAUUUAAAUUUAUUAUAUAUAUUCUCAAUGCAGAAACACAUAAAUCUAAGUUCGAAUUCAUCCUUUUUUUGUUUUUUUUUUUUUGUUUUUUUAACCCAGAAGAAAAAUUGAGUCCCACUCUGCUGUGUAGAAUGCGCGUUUAGUAUAGAUUUUUUUAUUUUUGAGUCUCUUAUCUGGUUCCCGAGCUUCUACAUUUAGGUCUCGUGUAUUUAUCUGCAUUUUCUUAAAUCUAAAUCACUCAAACAAUCUAACCACUUAACAAAUGACACGUACUCAAACUUAAAAUCAGAAUGGAUGGAGUAGAGGCUUACACCGAUGAUUCUUGGUCAAGACUUGAGAGACAGAUGGAGACGAGGCAUGACAUAAAGUCUGAAGAAGAGAAACGAGGAAGCUUCAUUUAGAUGGUGGUGUAAGUGCAUACGUAAAGUCCAGAUUCAACAGGAAAGCAUCUUAAACGUAAAGAAAAUAAGUUUACCAGAAGCAAAAGAGAUACUGAAGUAAUUGUUUAUCAACUGAACUUAAACGAAAUAUUAACUCUUUGUUGUGCCAUAAGCACAAGAUCUUAUGAAAAAAAAUUCAAGAUAAACCAUAUAAUAUUGGGAGAUUCACGUUUAUACCGAAUAUAGGAAUUCAAAUUAUAAAAUAAAUAAAUAAAUAAAAUAAUCGAUAUGAAAUGGACUUUAGAAACACACACAAAGCCUAUUUACAACAUAACAAAAAGGUUUUUCCCUUCUUUUAAAUUACAAAACUGCCAUUGAUUUCUUAAAACAAACCCAACUCCAAAACCUCAUUAAAAAAGCACAAAACACUCAAUAGGGUGUCAAAGUAAUUUAAUAAUAAAAAAUAAAUUCAAUAAGGCCAAUUGAAUUUUUUGGAUUUUUUUUUGGGUUUGUUUAUAGAAAUUAAUGGUGUAGGGUUUAUCUAUAUUAUUGGUGUUAAGAAUGAAUAAUGACUAAAUAUCUCUAUAAUAUUUUCUAACUCACAAAAUAAUAUAGAAAAUAAAUGCAAGAACAAGAAAAUAGCAAUAUGCAAUUUAACGAAGCUGCUUACAAUCAGUGCAAAUGAGCAAACAAAUUCGCUAUUAAUUUAUGAAGUGUUUUUGUAUUUACAAUACCGCCUCUUGAAUGUCCACCAUACAAUAAUAUAGUUGCAUCAUUAAAAACUUUACUUGAAAAAUCGUUUGGGACAAAACUUAAGCUAAGAGAAAAAGAGUGCAACACAAAUGAUAUUGACAUCACAUAUGUCUCUCCUACAGAGUGAGCUUUGGUGAUGCUUGUAUAAAAAUUGCUUUCACAUCAUUAUUGGGAGAUGUAUGUAUGUCAUCAAUCAUUUGAAUCUUGUUGAGGUUAAAGUAAAACCAAAAAAAUAUCAAGGGCCAUUUUCAUAUAGUUUUUCACAAUAAAAAUUAACAAAAUAACUUCAUGUUCUUUAAUAUCAUCAAAAAAAUAAUAUAAACAAACUCAUAGUUUACCUUUUCAAUGAUAAGUGUUUGGAAAAUUUACAUGGAAUAAUAUUUGGUAUGCUAUGCUAGCAUCUCAUAAGCUCUUCAAGAGACCUAAAUUUUAUGAUAACUUCUUAAAAAAAUUUGAAUACUUUUCAACAAUAUUAAACUUGAAUUCAAACUCAUAAUUCAAUCAAAGUACUCAUUGAGGCAAUUUAGAUCAUUUUCAUUUUAAGAAAAUUGGGUGCAUACAUUGAGCUUCAUGCCCUUUACCUUCUUAGAGAUUUUCUUCGAGCAAUUUAUAUUGCAUGACAGAUUAUAUCUCUUAGAAUUUGUUCUUAUGUAUUCUUCAAGAGAUCUCUUCUUGCAAUAUGCUUCAAACACUUCAUAAUCUUUAUAGAUUUUUCAUGUAGAUUUAAGGUCUCCAUGAAUAUUGAGAUUGAAACAAGGAGUAAAAUAAAAGUUUAAGAAAAAUUUUCCCUGAUUAUUUUGUAAUUAUAAUGUUGGUGAAAACCUAAUUUCCUUUCUGAAAUUUGUGAAAUUUGUUAUUUGGCUAAGCUAAAAGUAUAAUAUUGACAAUAAAACGUAUACGAAAGUUUCUCUUUGGCUGGCUUCUUGGCUGGCUCUAGGAAGGGACAUUGCGGCCAUGAGAUAACCAUAGGAAGCAUAAUAAGAAUGCUUGGAUGCUCUGAACAAUCCAUUUUCUGACUCUUUUUCUUGAGGCGGUUGUUUUCUUAGGCCCAUCAGAGUUUAUGGUCGACAGAUAAGCUUCAAACACAUGCAUUGGUCGUGUCAGUUGCGAUAAACUCUUCCCAACAAUCUGAGACUCACAUCACUCCAAACACAUAAAAAGAAGUGGAAAUUUGCUAUUCUUUGUCUUUGUUUGGACAGCUAAUAGCAAAGCAUUGGAAACAUCGAAAAAAGAAAGUUAAUUAAUUUAAGAAAAACAAAGAAAUCCUUCUUUUUUUUUCUUUUUUUUUUCAGCAAACCGAAACAUAAAAUCCGAAAAAGAAGAAGGCAUGUCCAAAAUUACAUCUUGAAUUUAUUUUGGAGAUUCACUAUUAUACUCAAAUUAUAUAUGAAAUAAAUUUUAGAAACACACAUGACGCCAAUUUACAAUAUAACAAAAAAACUUUUAACUUCUUGUAAAUUACAAAAUUGUUAUCGAUUUCUUAAAACAAGCCUAAUCCUAAAACCUCAUAAAAAAAAAAUCAAAACACUCAAUAAGGCAUCAAAGUAAUUUAAUAAUUAAAAUUAAAUUUAAUAGGGUCAUCUGUCAUUUUUUGGAUUUUUUUCGAAGUUGUUUAUAAAAAUUAAAAUAAUGUAUAGUUUGUUUAUAAAAAUUAAAUGAUGUAGAGUUUCUUUAUAUAAUUAAUGUUAAUAAUGAGUAUAUGAAUAAAUGUCACUUUUCUUUAUUAACCAUUUAUAAUAUAUGAACUCAAGACUUCCUAUCGAACACCGAAUGGUCUUUCCAUUCCUUGUUAAUUCAAAGUCUGAAAAUGUUCGGUGUCAGCUCAUGAAUUUAAAGGCUUAAAGGCUCAAAACUUGAACGAAUAUGAAAGAAAAAAGUCGUUCACCGUUCAUCCUCUUCCUGCAGCUGUGCAUGCUAAUCACCCACUGAAUUAAACAUACAAAUACGCUUUAUGUUUUCUCAAAUUGUUCUUUGAACUAAGUAGAGGUUGGAAUACACUCGGGGUCAACAUUGUUCAAAUACAAAACACUUCUUAAUUUUAUAUUUUAUCAAAACAGAUCGAAACUUCAUUCAAACUGAGAACCUAGAUUACAAAACUACCAGAAAAACUGGAAUCUGCACUGUGGCCUCAUUAAAACCUUGCUUUAAAAAACUCCUAAAAGAGGAGAAUUCAGUCAAGAAAAAAGAGUACCACAGCAAGUGAAAUCCGAUAUCAUACUUCAUUCCUUUCUCAUACAAAGUUGAAUCAACUGCUCUACCACCCCAUCUAUCUCUUCAUCCUCUCUCUUUUUCAUGUUGUCUCUCAAUUCCAUUGCCUUUCUUUUCAAACCCUGUCCAUUUUCUUCCACCACCACAUCUCUGAUUACUUUUGCUAUCUCGUCCCUUUUCAGCCUCCCGUUCUCGUUGCCGCCUCCUCCCAUUCUCUUAACCUCCACACCAACUCCAACGUCCUCUACUAUUCUAGCGUUAAUAGGCUGGUCAAGAUGCAUAGGCAUGGCUACAAUUGGAACGCCAAACUUGAUGCUCUCCAACACUGAGCUCCAUCCACAGUGGCUCACAAACCCACCAGCACUAGAAUGCUUCAAUACUUUUGCCUGUGGAGCCCAACCAUCCACUAUUAUUCCCUUCUCCCCCACCCUCUCAAAAAACCCUUCUGGUAAUACCUCUUCAACCCUAGUACCUUUCUCUUCCUUAGGAAAUCUUAUAACCCAAAUAAAACUCACUUUGCUAAUCUCUAGCCCAUGAGCUAUCUCUUCUAUUUCCUCCUUGGAUAAAAAGUACUCACUGCCGAAGGAAACAUACACCACCGAAGAUCUUUCUCUAGUGUUUAGCCACUUCAUGAUUUUUGUUUCCUCCGAAUCCACUUCUUGCUCUAUAAGGUCUUGAACAAGUGAACCAACAGGCACAAUCUUCUUCCCAAUUAGAUCAGAGAGAUAAUCAAUAUAUUUUGCUUCAAUCUCUCUAGAACUCUUAACUAAUACGAUCUUACAAGAACGAUCGCUGCACUGCUUAGCACGGUCUCCAUCACUGAUGCCAUUUGAUGAAGAUUCUAACAACAUCUUGAUCUUACUAGUCUCGUAAUAGAUUGAAGGAAACGGAAAUUUGACACCAGGUUUCUCGCCAUGGUGGGUACAAACUGACAUCAUGGCAGCACUGGUUGUGAAGAACUCGAUGGCUGGAAUGUUUUGUAACAAAGCUAGAGAGGGUGCCCAUGGUUGAAGAAAAUCAUAAAUUAGCAAAUCCGGGUGUAGGGUUUUGAGGAUGUUGGAGAAGUUAGGGCUUGCCCUGUCGAAGGCGGUUUUGAGAGUGGACAUGAGGUGGGGUGGGAGGCCAUUGGUAGUGUGGUAAUGAGGUGGGAGUUCAGGCAAGUCGUCAUAUGGAAGAUGUAGUUGCACGAGUUCAAUGCAACGAGAGUAUUUUUCAGAGAGUUGUGGCUUGAUGGAUCUGAGAUUUACAGGUGUGGAACAAAAAUAGAUGUGAAAAUUUCUGUUGGUCAGCUUCUUUGCUAGCUCUAGGUAGGGAGAUAUGUGUCCAUGAGCUAACCAUGGAAACAUAAGAACACUGAAUUUUCUUUGCUGAGAAGAAUCCAUUUUUUCAGACUCUCUCCAUUCAGGUCGUUUGUUUUAUAGAUCUAAUAAGUGAGAUGAAAAGAUGACAAAAUAUAUACAGAUGAGUCAUGUGAAUCUAGGUUUUUUCUUCGUAGUCAGAAGAGUCGUGCGUAAGUGCAUGCGUGUAUACAAGACAAAAGACAUACGUUAGACUUCUUUAUCUUCGUUCGUGCUGAUAUAUAUUAAGAAACAGACCCUUGCAACUCUAAUAUCCUAGACAAAAAUUCAAUUUUAAAAACUGAUGCUAUGUCCUGUGUUUUCCUAAACAAUCCCUAUUUUCUGUAGUCUUUCAAUUAUUCUAAAUUUGCUCAACAUUCAAUAUAACAUCAAUUUCUUAUAAAUCCCUGAACUUUCUCUAGCAUUCAAAAUUUUAAAACAUUCUCAAAGUAAUUCGGCUUCAAAGGAAUGGUAAACUUAGUAAUGGCUUCUUUUCCCCUUUCACGAUGCAGUGGCUGAGAGUUCUGAGAACGGAAGUUGUAGUUGGGUGACUUUGAUUCUUUUUAGCUGAUGCCUACUGCUUGAAUGAAAUGGAGCAAAGAGGUCAUCAGUACUUACACUGCUACUAGGAGGGUAAGCUUGAUUAUGUGUAUACUAUAACUUUAGAGUUUUGGUAUUUGGAAUGAUGAUAAUUUCAAUGUUACAUUUAUUUUGUUUACUACACUAUGUUUCUUUGUUGAACUCAAAUGUCAUGCUGAUAAAAAGAAAUAUAUUGUUGUAUGAAAUUGAAUCAAUAAGGAAAUUGACUGAGAUUUAAAAAUAAAAUUACACAGACACAGCAUGCAAUAUUAAUGCAAUAUUAAAUCUGUGUUAAAUAAUGUAGGACAGAUAGAUUAGCUGAUCGAGGAGCAGCUGGAUAAGCCCGUGCAUGUCGUUGUGCCAGAAAAGCCCAAUUCGUGCAAGUAUGGGCCCUGAACUCUUAAUUAGGCUAUGAUCUGUCAUUUUGAAGAGAACGGCGUGACAAGUGCAACUCACUGCUGUAUUGUGACAUACGGACUAUUUUAGUCAAAUUCUAUCAUUUACAUUGCAUUUUCAGCAUUUAAAGUUUUUUAAAAAAUUUGGAAACUUUUGUUAUUUUCCUUUUUUGUUUUCUAAUUAGCUUUCUUAGCAAGUCUAGGGGUUCUCUUGUAUAAAAGGAAUGCAUUGGAGCAUCCUAAACUAUUCAGUUUAUUAUCAAUCAAAUACUUUUGAGUUAUACUAAAUUUCGGAUGGAUCCGGCAUGUUACUUGCAGGGUUAUCAUUCGAUCUCCUUAUUCCCUAUAUCUCGCUACGUCAGCUGUCAUGGCCAACUGGGGAAGUCGUGUAAUGGAUAUCACUUAUGGUGUGCACCAUGUGUAGUAAAUAGUUGUCCAAAACCUUUCCCGCAGCUCUAGUGCAAGGGUGUAUUGUGUGCACGUUUGAGGCGUGCAUAUAGGUUCCGUAAAUUUCAUGAGCUUUUUAUGGCUAGUUCUUUCGGGAAGUGCAUAGGGAGUGAUCAACUUCUUGGUCACUAACCUGUUUGAUAUUCUUAGUAAUGGGGUGUUAGUUGGAUUGACUUAGACUUUUAGUUUGCUCUCAAGUGGUCCCGAGUUGAAGCCCCCACGGUAUCCGUGUGUGUGAAUUUUCCCCUUCCCUUUCCUAAUUUAACAACAACAACAAAAAAUACUUAUUUGAUAUCCUGGUUUAUUUAUUUAUUCUUUUUUAAAAAAAAAUUUAAAACUUUUUUUAUUAAAAGGGGUAAUAUCAUACUAAACUCACACACACUACAUAGAUGAUAGGACUUGAAUUCACCAUAAUCGUUUUUUAGGAGCAAUUACUUAUGGUAAACAAUUACUUCAAACCACUACACUAGUAGUCAUUAGCGGCGUUUUAUAUUCUUGCACAAGCUAUGUGGUCACUAAUAUUUUGUGUAUUAAGGGCUUGUGGUGUUUCAAUGUUGAUAAAAAUGCCAAAUCAGAAUUCAAUACAAGAGUACAACCACCUAAAGGAUAGCAAUGAACAGAUACUAUUUUAUCCACACAAAAAAAAGUUUAUCUGAUAUGAGCAUUAUUCAAAAUCAUUAGAAAAUGAGUACUGAAUGCUAAAAAGACGCUAAAACGUAGAGUCAAAGCCAACAUUCACAUGAUCGGCCAUCAGAUACGCUUAGCAUUCAAAAUCAUUAAAAUUAUUAUUGAAGUCUCAACUCCUUUUCACUUAAAAGUAGAUAUUUGUUUCCCUUCUCCUACAAAUUGCAUCAAUUCCUCCACGACCCCAUCUAUCUCUCCAUCUUUGUUUUUCAUGUUGUCUCUUAAUUCCAAUGCCUUUUUUCUCAUGCCCUCUCCAAUUUUCUCCACAACCACCUUUCUGAUCACCUUCGCCAUCUCUUCUCUUUGCAAAAUUCCUUCUCCUGUUCUUUUAACCUCCACACCAACACCCACCUCCUCUACUAAUCUAGCGUUAAUUGGCUGGUCAAGAUGCAUAGGCAUGGCUAUAAUUGGAACACCAAACUUGAUGCUCUCCAACACUGAGCUCCAUCCACAGUGACUCACAAACCCACCAAC
Molecule: long non-coding RNA, 66881 nt
Filed under: Prunus persica (peach)
Lineage: Eukaryota; Viridiplantae; Streptophyta; Magnoliopsida; Rosales; Rosaceae
Description: long non-coding RNA (PPER_LNC002428)
Source: RNAcentral